GAGCCUGAGGGAGGGGUCGGCCUGCGGGUAGCCAGAGGCUGGGACGGCUGUGGAGCCUGGGGUGGGAGAGGGAGUGUGGGGCAGCUAAAAGGUGAGCCGAGCCGACGGAGGGGACGCGCUGUGGGGCGCCCCCAGUCUAUGGAGCGGGGUAAGAUGGCGGAGGCGGAGAGUCUGGAGACAGCAGCAGAGCACGAGCGGAUCCUGCGAGAGAUCGAGAGCACUGACACGGCCUGCAUCGGGCCCACGCUCAGGUCUGUCUAUGAUGGUGAGGAACAUGGACGUUUCAUGGAGAAGCUUGAAACUCGUAUCCGUAAUCAUGACCGAGAAAUUGAGAAAAUGUGCAACUUUCAUUACCAGGGCUUUGUGGACUCUAUAACUGAACUGCUAAAAGUGAGAGGAGAAGCCCAGAAACUCAAAAAUCAAGUGACGGAUACUAAUAGAAAACUACAACAUGAGGGAAAGGAACUGGUAAUAGCAAUGGAAGAGCUGAAGCAGUGUCGACUACAACAGAGAAAUAUUUCUGCCACUGUUGAUAAAUUAAUGCUGUGUCUUCCAGUCCUAGAGAUGUACAGCAAACUGAGGGACCAGAUGAAAACUAAACGGCAUUAUCCUGCACUGAAAACUCUGGAACAUCUAGAGCAUACCUACCUUCCUCAAGUAAGCCACUAUCGAUUCUGCAAGGUGAUGGUGGACAACAUCCCCAAGCUUCGAGAAGAAAUAAAAGAUGUUUCUAUGUCUGAUCUCAAAGACUUUCUGGAGAGCAUCCGCAAACAUUCAGACAAAAUUGGAGAGACUGCCAUGAAGCAAGCCCAACAACAAAGAAACCUGGAUAACAUCGUCUUGCAACAACCCAGAAUAGGUAGCAAGAGGAAAUCUAAGAAAGAUACAUAUAUAAUCUUUGAUACAGAGAUAGAAAGUACUAGUCCCAAGUCUGAACAGGAUUCAGGAAUUCUGGAUGUUGAAGACGAGGAAGACGAUGAAGAGGUACCCGGGGCCCAAGAUUUGGUGGAUUUUUCUCCAGUUUAUCGAUGUCUACACAUAUACUCUGUCCUGGGUGCCCGGGAAACAUUUGAGAAUUACUACCGAAAACAGAGGCGAAAACAGGCUCGUUUGGUACUUCAACCUCCGUCUAACAUGCAUGAAACGUUAGACGGCUACAGGAAGUAUUUUAAUCAAAUUGUAGGCUUUUUUGUGGUUGAAGAUCACAUUUUACAUACAACGCAGGGCUUAGUUAAUAGAGCCUACAUUGAUGAACUGUGGGAAAUGGCACUUUCAAAAACCAUCGCAGCACUCCGUACCCACUCGUCUUACUGCUCUGAUCCAAACCUUGUGUUAGAUUUGAAGAACCUCAUUGUGCUUUUUGCUGACACACUUCAGGUGUAUGGUUUCCCUGUAAAUCAGCUUUUUGACAUGCUGUUAGAAAUCAGAGACCAAUAUAGUGAGACUCUGCUAAAGAAGUGGGCAGGUAUUUUCAGAAACAUACUUGAUUCUGACAACUACAGUCCUAUACCAGUAACAAGUGAAGAGGUGUACAAAAAGGUAGUAGGACAAUUCCCAUUUCAAGAUAUAGAACUGGAAAAGCAGUCAUUUCCAAAAAAGUUUCCUUUCUCCGAGUUUGUGCCAAAAGUUUACAACCAAAUUAAAGAAUUUAUCUACGCUUGUCUGAAGUUUUCGGAAGAUCUUCAUCUAAGCUCAACUGAAGUUGAUGACAUGAUUCGUAAAUCAACAAACCUUUUGCUAACCAGGACUCUGAGCAACUCUCUGCAGAAUGUCAUUAAAAGGAAGAAUAUUGGGCUUACUGAGCUCGUCCAGAUUAUUAUCAACACAACACAUUUGGAGAAAUCCUGUAAGUACUUGGAAGAAUUUAUCACCAACAUCACUAAUGUGCUUCCGGAGACAGUUCACACUACCAAGCUCUAUGGCACCACAACUUUUAAGGAUGCUAGACAUGCAGCUGAAGAAGAAAUUUAUACAAACUUAAACCAGAAGAUUGACCAGUUCCUACAGCUGGCAGACUAUGACUGGAUGACCGGAGAUUUGGGCAACAAAGCUAGUGAUUACCUGGUAGACCUCAUUGCCUUUCUUCGUAGCACCUUUGCUGUAUUUACACACCUUCCUGUAAGUGAUAUUUACUCUUACUUUGUCCUUUAUAUAUAAACAAGUUUCCUUAUAAUUUAGUUUGAUGAAAGAUAUUAGUUUCUGCUGUAACUAACCAGAAAGAUCUUAGUAUAUAAACGCUCAUGCUAUAUUUAUUAACUCUUAAUCAUAUUUAGAGGCUACUUCCAUCAUUUUUUCAUUGAUCUUUGUGUUUUUUUCAUUCUAAAAAUGGUUCCUGGUAUUAUGUCUGCUUAUCUUCCUAUGAUGUUCAAGGUAAUUAGUACAAAGACAUUAUAAAAGCCUUGGUAGAAUUAGAAAAGAAAGUUAGAAUUUCAGAUAUGCAUAUUUUAGUUUUAUAAUAUUCUUUAAUAUUUUUAUAUAAACUGAAAUUGUUUGAUGAAAUGCUCCAUCUUUUUAUCUAAUUUGUCUAUCUUUUCUCUAUUUUCUUAAGCAUAUUAAUUAUAGACUUUUGAAAUCAUUCUUUACUACUUCUUAUAUACAUUAUACAUACACAUAUUGGUGGGAUUUUUUUUCUCUUGGCUUUCAGUCAUGUGGUCCUGUCUCUUUCUAAUAUUUUUUGGUUGAUGUUAGACAUUGUGUAAAAUAUAUGGAGAUUCCAGGUGGUGUUAUUUUCCACCAAAAAGGUUCAUGUUUUCCCUUACUAAGUAUGUAGAAUGGGCAGGUGGGUGGGUUGUGGUUUGAAGCUGACCGCCUUAGUACCAUCAUGGACUAAUUUGGUUUAAUAUUGGGUUGCAGUUAUAAUGUACUUUGCCGCUGUUGGGAGGAUAUGGUUCUGCAGAAUUUUUAAAAACUGCCUGAUAUGUCAUUGUCUUUUUAGCACCAGAGAGGACUAUAGAAAUUCUUACUUUUCACAGAAACCUUAUCUAUUUAGUUUCCUGUACUCCUUGGUUUUAGAAUCUGGCAAAUACAUUGAGAAGGAGACGUAGCAGUACCCAGCAUCAGCAAUUGCUGACAAGAAAAAAAGUGGUUGGGAGUUGUCAGUGUUAAUUUACCAUCCCUAAUGAGGUUUCAGCUCCUCCUAUGAUCUGAAUGUUAGUGUACACUGAAAAGUCAUAUGUUGAAUCUAAUAACCAGUGUGAUUACAUUUGGAGGUGCCUUGGGAGGUGGUUGAUUAUGAGGGUAGAGCCUUACAAAUGGAAUUAGUAUACUUCUAAGAGAGACUUCAGAGAGCUGCUGUCUUCCUUCUGGCCAUGUGAGGAUAAAGGGAUACAGGAAGACAACUCUUUCUUUUUUUUUGCGCUAGGAGAUAGGCCUUUGUCAGAUACUGAAUCUGCUGGUACUUUGAUGUUGGACUUCCAAGCCUCCAGAACUGUGAGAAUUCUGUUGUUUGUAAGCUACCAGUCUGUGAGAUUUUGUUACAUUAUUCUGAAUGGAUUAAGAUAGUUCCCGUCAUUUUUAGGCAUUCUUCUAUUAGUGAGUCUUUUUCUCUGAAACACUGUGAAACUGUGAGAAAUCUCCUUGCUUUUAAGAGAUUCUUUAGAAUUCAGUAAAUGUCUUGAAGGUAAAAACUAGUCCUCAAAUCUCUAAUUGUGGCACUCUAGUCCAUUGGAAGCAGCAAAGAUUUCAUGUGUUUUUUUUUAACCCUCUAGUAGUUAGUCUCUGCCUGGUUUUAAGCUUCUGAGUAUGUCGCCCAUGCCUACGUGUCUCAAAUGCCCUUAGGGAAAGCUGCAGAUCCUCAGCUCACCUUUAAAAGGUUCUGUCCUCUCUGCAGUUUCAUUCUCUUUUGUUUUCAUUUAUUCACAGCACCUGAUGUCUUUUAAUAUGUUUUCUCUACAUGUUUUACUUCCUUUCCUGGUUUUCCUACUGGGAGCAUUUACCUGCAGAAAAUUGUGUCAUUUUAUCAAGCUUCCUCUUGACACCAAAGCCAGACAAAAAGAGCACACACAAAAAUGAGUUAAUCUCACAAUUAUGGAUAAAAAUAAAAUAAAUAAAAUUUUAACAAGUCAAUUCCAAGUGUUUUAAGAAAGUAAUUUAGUACUCAUGUGUAGGAUUUAUUCCAGAAAUGAAAGGAUGGUUUGAUAUCUAAAAAAAAUCUGUUGAUAUAAUUUAUCACAUUACUAAGUGAAAGAGAUAAAGUAUGUUGAUGUAUUCUAGAUAUUUUAUUACAUCCAGCCUACAUUCUUGAUUUAAAAACAAAGUUUACUAAAUUCCAAGUAGUAUAAUAUUUCAAUAACAUGAUAAAGAACAUCUUUUUGAAAUUUAGUAGCCACUAUAGAUUUAACAGUAGAACAAUAAAACAUUUAUUUUCAUUGACUUCAGGAAUUGGGUGAAGAUGCUUCUCAUCAGUGCUUUAGAAGUUCUAUCAAAUAAAUGUAAAGAAAUAAUAAAUUAUAUUAUUAUGAGCCAUGUAUGUCUUAAUUGAUUCCUGUUGCCAUAAGAUACCUUAGACUGAGAGAUUUAUAAAGAACAGAAAUUUAUUUCUCACAGUUCUGGAGGCUGAAAAGUCCAACAUCAAGAUGUCAGCAGAUUCAGUGUCUGAUGAAGCCCUUUUCCUCAUAAAUGACACCUCUGUAUCCUUACAUAGCAGAGAAGGCAAAAAGGACAAACUCAUUCCCUCACUUCUGAAAAGGCCUCCCCACAAAAAUUAAAAAAAUAUAUGAAAGUUGCAUUGGGGAUUAAAUUUCAAUAUGAAUUUUGGAGAGGCUCAAACAUUUCAAACUACAGCACAUGCAUAUUAUUAUUUAUAGGUUAUUAUCUAGACAGAAAAUAGUAAAAAUUCAUCAAGACCAAUAAGAAUUUAGGUUAGAUGGUUCACUUAGAAAACAAGUAAACUUUUCUUAUAUUAGCAAUACCCACAUAGAAAAUAUAUUGUCAAAAAUGUCUUGUUUAUUAUUCAGACAUAGAUAUAAUUUCUCUAUGCAGAGAAAUUUCUCUACUUAGCAAAUAAAUGUAGAAAUAAUGUGACAACAUCACAGAGUAACAUAAAAGAGACUUCUUUAUGCACAAAUAUAUCUGGUAUUCCAGUAUGGGACUAUUUCAUUUUGUAGAAAAUUUUUUCAAAUUGAAUUGCGAUGAGUACCAAGUAAAUUUGUUUAGGGAGGAAUCUUAUUGAAAUAAUUCUGAAAUUUAUUUGUAAACAAAAAUGGACAAUAUUUGGUAAAAGAAUAAAUUAUUAACGAACAAAUUUUGUAACUCUAGUAAUAAGACAUACAUAUUAAAUGUGAAAUUUUUGACUGUGAACUAGUUAGAAAUAAGAAAAUGGUAACAUUCAAUAUUUAUGAGAAAUAAUUGUUGAAAAAGGUAUUUUGAUAGAUUGCUGGCAGGGGUCUUAGUUAUUAUAGUCUUUUUGGAGGUCAGUUUUUCAAUAUGCUGCAGAAAUCCUUUAAAAUUAGCUUAUCUUUUACUAUGUAAUUCCACUUUUGGAAUUUGAACUUAAUGAAAUAAUCAUGGGUGUAUUAUAAAAUUCAGAUAUAACUAUAUUUAAUGCAAUAUUGUAUUUGUAUAGCAAGGAGUUGAUAUAAAAGUCCAUUAAGCAAAUGUGUUCACAAACUAAAUUACUGUAUAUUCAUAUAAUGUGAUAUCAUUCAUUCAUUAAAUUGAUGUAAAUGUAUAUUUACUCAUUAAAAUGUGUUUAUUAUUUUUUAAUUGUAAAAACAGAUAUGAUCUUAUUUUAAUUAAUACAUAUAUACACAUUAAAUAUCCAUAUUAUGUACAGUGUAAGUCUAGAAUUGUAUACGCCAUGGUUUAUCCUUAUUUCUAUGUAGCUUUUAGGUUUUCCUUUUUGUUUGUGUUUUUAGAAAAUGUUUUCUGAAUUGAAACAUUUGCUGCUUUUAUAAUGGGGGGGUGUGGAGGUGAUAUUUAGAAUAAUUAUUUCCUAUCUCAAGAAUUAUUGUCUUUGAUAACUAAUUUUUACAUAAAUAUAUAUAUAUAUAUUUAUUUAUUUAUUUUGAGACGGAUUCUUGCUCUUACACCAGGCUAUAGUGCAGUGACGCUAUCUCGGCCCACUGCAACGGCCGCCUCCUGCUUCAAGUGACUCUUCUGCCUCAGCCUCCCGAGUAGCUGGGACUACAGGUGCACGUCACCACGCCCGGCUAAUUUUUGUGUUUUUUAGUAGAGCUGGGGUUUUACCAUGUUGGUCAGGAUGAUCUUCAUCUCUUGACCUCAUGAUCCGCCUGCCUCAGCUUCCCAAAGUGCUGGAAUUACGGGCAUGAACCACUGCACCUGGCCUAAUUUAUAUUUUUAAAUUGCUUUUGCCAGCCUACCUGUCCCCAUUUCAUCAUGCUGUUAUAUUUCAGCAUCACACUUUGUACUCCUUGCUUCAACCUCUCGGUCAUUUAGAAGCAGUAAUGUGGAUCAGACUGGUGCUUGUCUGAGUUAAAGUACAUGCUUUUUCUACCUGUAGAGUUGUGAACUUUCUUGCAAGGCUAUACUGUAAGUAAUUAGUUGAGGUUUAUUUCUCCCUUUUUUGUUUAUUCUAAACUGCCAUUUUUACCUAAAUACUAUAUAACCUCUCAGUGUGGAUAGAAUUGAUUCUACCACUCUUAUUGUAGAACCACUUUACCAUGUACCAUUCAGAAUCAAAGUAGGGAGUAACUGACAGGCUUAAGUCCUCAAUAUUGCUUCCAUUGAUGCCACAUUUCUGUCUUGUCUACACUUUUCUGAAGCUACACUUUUAAAAUUAAUUGGAUUCAACAGAUAUUAUAGUCUCUAGAAUCAGGUGACUUUUUAAACUACUCCACCUGGUUUUCCACAAAAUAGAUUGCCCAACAUUUUUGCUUAUGUUGCCCAGAAUGCUAGAUAGUUUCCUCAUGGAACCCCAUAUUAGUCACAAAACAGAACUGUGUCUAAGAUUUGCCCUUGUGCAUUAUUAGAGAAAGAAUGGGAGAGAAAAGAGUUCAUUUCUGAAAAAGAACCCAAAUCAUUUGUGUUUUACUUACCAUAAAUAUUUUCGUUAUUCUGUGGCAGGAGUGGCUCUCUGUCAGAAAGAUUGAUUAAUAGAAAAAAAAGUAUAUGGAGAGGACUAGAAGACAAGGCAAAUUCUGUCUUAUUCUUUUACAUUUUAGAAUCCCCAGUUUCUCUUAAUUCUCAGGGAUAUUUUGUUACUGCAUCAUAGCUGCAACAUAGCCAGGGGGAUAGGUCAGUGUCUAGAAGUGUGUUUGUGUGUGACACAGAGAGAGAGAGAGAGGGAGAGUACGAGUGUAUUUGUUUGUAGAUUAUUCUCAUUAUUAGAUAGUCAGUGAUCAGAGGGGAAAAUUAUUUAAUUUUGCAACUGUUUUUUCCCCUUGAAGUUUUUGUGACCUAGGAGGCCUGCCUAUCUUCAUGAGGCACCCAGAAAUAACUGUAAUAAUAUUUUCCACAUUUAGAGUUUUUAAAUCUUACUCUUUCCCUUGAGUUAAGAGAUGAGGUAAGUACACACACAUUUUUUUCAGACUUCAGUUGUGUAAUUUACAGUUGCAUGCACAGUUAUCCAUUUUGCAUGCUCAGCAUAAGAGCAUAUUUUUGAGAAUUUAUUCUUGUUAUCCUGAUAAUUAUCUUUCAGAAAUGCUUAAGAGAGAAAAUGCUGUCUCAAGUAACAGACCCAGAAGAUGGAAUCCUGAGUUUGUUUUCUCUGUCUGAUGUUAAUGUUAAUUUGUAUGACAUGGGGCAAGGUCUCUCAGCCCACCUUGGUUUGUGAGUUAAGCAUGGAAAUUCUUCUAGUUUCUUUGUCUAGUAAUACAGUGAGAUGUAUCCCUGGGCUUACUUUCUGGGCAGCUGAUAGGUCAUCCUUAGAGAAAAUUAUUUUCUACUUACAAGUUUCUGAAAGUCUUCCAAUUUAAAACCCUUUAAAAACUGACAUUUCUUUUAGUACUCAAUUUAUUUCCAGAAAUUGUUGCCAUCUCCAACCUAACCAAAUGAUUCUGCUACUGAAGAACUGUCAAUACAAAUUGUCAGUACUCCCAUUAAGUACAAAAUCUUUUCUGUGCCCAUCAGACUUUUCAUAAUGGGACCUUAAACUACCUUUCUGUCUUUUUCUUUGUCUUUGUCUCUCUUUUCUAUUUACCAAAGAUUCUCCUCCCAUAAUGAAGUAAUGCUCUUUGUUAAGCACACCCAGCUGUUUUCUAUCCUGGGCCUUUGUUUUUUAAAAUGCCUUUUCAUCUACUUUUACUGCUUUUGCCCUUUAACUACACAUGUUGAAAUCUUACAUCAUUCAAGGUUCAUUUAAGUACCACACCUUCUAUGAAGCCUUAUCAGUUCUCCUAACCAGAUGUGACGUCUUCCUUUGUGGCACUUUUUAAAAUGCCACUAACUAAAUUUUAUCUUGGACUGGAUGUGUCAUUCAUUUAUGCACUUUAUUCAGGAAAGGAGACAAUGGUAAUUAAGCAUCUGUUGUGUUCCAGAUGCUUUACAUGUAUUAUAUGUCAUCCCAGUUGAUGAGGACUCAAAAUACCUCAAUUGGAUAAGUAUUAAUAUUAUUAUUACAUCUUAUGAUGAGACCAUAAAAUCAAGGAGUAUAUAUACUUUGUAAAGGAUACAGCAAAUAGAGGAAAGGGUUAGGAUUUAAACAAAUUUAUUCAACUUAAAAUUUUUUCUAUUAUGCCAUCCUAUUAGAUUGAUUACCAACUAUGGACUUGUGAAUCCUGUGGAUAAAGACCUUGUCCUAUUCAUCUGUAUUUCUGUGUAUAGUGCAGCAGCUUGUAUGAAAUAGUGCAUAGUAAGUUUGUAUGGAGUUUACAUGUUUUGAACAAUAAACUAAGUGAAUUCCUGCCUGGGCAUUGACAAUCAUUUUUGGGUCAUACAUCAUUAAAAGUAACCAUUUAAUUAUAGAAAAGAGAAGUCAUAAGCUAUUAUUUUGAGAUAAUGACCAAAAAUUUGCUUAGGUUAAAAUUCUAAAUUGGUCUUUCUCCUUCCAUAUUCUCUAGUUUCUCCAAAUAAGAAAGAGUAUGGUUUUCAAGUGACAGAAUUUUAAUUAUAAAAUGCCUUGCAUUCAUGUAUUACUUAGUAAUGUUCAAAUUUCUUUCAUAUGUCAUUAUCUCAUUUCUUUGUUUAAAAAAACAGCCUCUAUGCUAUAUGGACAGUCACUAUUUUCCCCAGUUAAUAAAUAUGGUAAUUGAGGCCUAACAGGGUCUUGCCCAAAGGUCAGAAAAUUAAUCAAUAGUGGGUCUGGAUCCUAGGUCAUUUUACCUGGGAUCAUGCUUUUUUCACUAUAUUAAGCUGUCUCUUAACAUUUAACAAUAGCUAAUGACCUUUGAGUACAUACCAUAUACCAGGUACUAUGCAAAGUGUCUUCUCCCUCUCUGUCUCUUUCUUUCUUUGUGUGUGUAUACAUAUACACAUAGGUGUAUGUAUUCUAAUGUACAUAUCUAUAUAUAUAUAUUUAUUCUCAUUUAUUCCUUGCAACAAAUUUGUGAAGACAUUGUUAUUCUCCCAGUUUAUAAAUUAGAAAAGAAAAACUAGAAUAGCUUAUACAUUAGUAAACAUAGAGAGGUUUAUUAUUGUGUCAAAAAUUACUCAUCUAGAGUUAGUGGAUCUGGGGUGUAAACUGCCUUCAAAGCCCUUCCUCCUUCACACUAUGGUAUAUAAUACCACUAAGCUAUGUAUGAGAAGCACUAAGCUAUGUUUCAUAGGGCCGACAUUUAAAUACCUUUUUCUCUGUGGGAUUCCUAUUCAGAAUCUUUUUUGUUAAUGUAUAAAAUUUUAGUCAUGGUGACCAGAACAGUUCCUAGUAGAGGGGUUAAACUGUGGUAAUGCGCCUAUAAAGUAGAAACUCUAUCUGGUAAUGGGAAAUAUACGAAUAAGUUGGUUGCCUAUUUCUAACCUAACUUGAGUUCCUUUAUUUGACACCUUAUGUGGAAAUUUCUCUCAUCUACUGAUAAAAAUGAUCCUGGAAGUUGGCCCAAUUCCUGACUUUCUCUGAAACAAAAUAAAAAAGUUUCAGGUGUCCUCAAAAAGGACUAGAGGCAUCAGAUCCUUUAGGAUACAACCACAUUUUUCUUUAUUACAUUAAUUACAUAGAUAGAUCCAGGAUUCAGGAUUUUUUUUUUUUCCUGGAUGGAGCACAAAUUACUGAUUUACUAAUGAUUUUUCUGCCAAUCAAGAAAUUGAUUCAUGUUUCCUAUUUCCGUGCAGUUAACAUUUAGGUUAUUUGAACUACAUGGGGUACAUUGAAAUAAAAACAUUUGCUUCUUAUCUAUGUGGUAUUGGGAUCUUUUGUUUAGUUAAUCACUUAAAUCCUUUAGAGGUUUUGUAUUUCUUCAGAAAUAUCUUUGUGUGUUGAGCUAUUACUUAGCACUUUUCUCCCCAUAAAGCUAUUAUCACCAAGCCAGAGCUGUACUUUCUGGUAGCAUCCAGCCAGUAAUCCUUUGCCUCUUUAAUGAUAAUGACCUUCGAAUCUUUUUCUGCUUAUAUAAUUAUUAAAUAAAAGCUUAAGUAUGUUUGCUUCCAAAUAGAGUCAUUUACUUCUAAUCCUGUUUUUGUUGAUAGAAAAUAAGGAUAAUCUGGAAUUUAACAGAGUGCAAAAUUCCACACUUGCAAAUCUACAUACUUGAUUUCCUUUUCUUUUUCUAUUCCUUGUUUUUUUUUUUUUUUUGAGUCUCACUCUGUCACCCCGACUGAUAUGCCAUGAUGGGAUAACAGCUCAUUGCAGGCUCGCCCUCUCAAACUCAAGCAAUCCUCCCACAUCAGCCUUACAAGUAGCUAGGACCACAGCCAUGUGCUGCCAUUUCUGGCUAAUGUAUUAAUUUUUUUAUGGAGAUGGUGGUCUUACUAUGUUCCGUAGGUUGGUCUUGAACUCCUGGACUCAAGUGAUCUUCCUGCCUUGUCCUCCCAAAGUGCUGGGAUUAUAGGGCAUGAGCCACUGCAUCCGGUAAGAGAAUCAGAGAUUCCAGUGAGAAUAUGUUAGCUAUUGCUAUACUUGAUCAUUUUAGUAUUUUCGAUACCUGAUAUGGUUUGGCUCUGUGUCCCCACCUAAAUCUCACCUUGAAUUGUAAUAAUCCCCACAUGUCAAGGGCAGGACCAGGAGGAGAUAAUUGAAUAAUAGGAGUAGUUUCACCCAUGCUGUUCACAUGAUAGUGAGAUCUGAUGGUUUUACAAGGGGCUUCCCGCUUCCCUCAUCACUCAUUCUCUCUCCUGCUGCCCUAUGAAGGGUACUUUCUGCCAUGAUUAUAAGUUUCCUGAGACCUGCCCAGCUAUACGGAACUGUGAGUCAAUUAAACUUUUUUUCUUUAUAGAUUACCCAGUUUGGGGUAUUUCUUCAUAGCAGUGUGAGAAUAACCUAAUACAAUACCUUUAAAAGAUGGUAAGGAGACUGCUUGUAUUCUUUCUUAUUGAUACUAAAGUUGUGGGGUGUUGAGUUUUAUCCAAGGACAAAACAGUAUUUCAACAUUGCUAAUAUCAGCAAAUAAUUAAAAACCUUAACUGUGUAAUAAUAGGUAAACUGUUAUAUAAACCUUAUACUAUUAUUCAGUGAAAUGUUAUGCAUUUACUAAAACUAAUUUUAUGAAGUUUAAAUUAUAACCUUGCAAAGCACUUAUAAUAUGCUAAAUGAAAGAAAUAGUAUGAAAGUUUUAUAAGCAAAAUGAUUAUAAUGUGUAAAAACAUGUUCAUAGUGAGAAAAAAGUUCACCAGGAAAUAUUUUAAAUUAAAAUAAUUAUGUUGGUAGUGUCACUUCUUAUUUUUUUCAAUAUUAUUAUUGGCAUUUUAAAAAUCUUUAAACGUUUCAUUUAUUUAAAAAAAGUUUUAGGCUGGGUGUGAUGGCUCACACCUGUUAUCCCAGCACUUUGGGAAACUGAGGUGGGGGCAUCACAAGGUCAGGAGAUCUAGAUCAUUCUGGCUAACAUGGUGAAACCUCAUCUCUACUAAAAAUACAAAAAAUUAGCUGGGUGUGGUGUCAUGUGCCUGUAGUCCCAGUUAUCCGGGAGGCUGAGGCAGGAGAAUUGCUUGAACCUGGGAGGUGGAGGUUGCAGUGAGCCGAGAUCACGCCAUUGCACUCCAGCCUGGACAACAAGAGUGAAACUCUGGCUAAAAAAAAAAAAAAGUUUUAGAUCUUUACAGCUUCUCUCUCAGUUCAGAUUUCCUUUGGCUUAUAAAUUCAAAGUGAAACAAAAACCACACUUUUAGAUUCUUUUAUGUGCCAGUAUUCUUCAUUUAUCUCAUCUUUGUUUGCAAAGUAACCCCUUUUUACUUAAUCUUAAAUUUAGGUAUAGGUAGGUUAAAUCAUUGCUUAAGACCCUAUAAAUAAUGUAUUUUUGGAAUACAGAUUUAGAUUGAGGUCUCUCUAAUUCCAAAGCAUGUACUCUUUUUGCUACAGUAAACAAGUUGCUUUUCCACUAAUAUUUCCAAGUCUAAAGGAAGGUGUUUGAUCUGUAGGGGUGCUGUUGAAUUGAGGUUUCUGAGCAAACUUCUAGGCAAGGGUACUGAGAAGCAUGGCUGAGAUUAGAUCAAGAGCAGUAAAGCACAGCUGAGGACAACCGAGGAUGCGCUAUCGUUAUAAACAAGAGCAGCAAUGGAAGAACAUAGGCAGAGUUUCUUUUUAUGUCAGCUUGUUUCUAGAUGUGCCUUCCAGGAACACUGGCUUUUCUGUUACUCUCUGUUCAGAAAUUUUUAAUAAUUUCCACCUUUUAAAGUGUAAGUACUAUCUACAUUAAAUACGUUACUUAUAAUUCCCUUACAUAAAGCUGUGACUUAAGCCAAAUAUAUCUGUUCAUUGUUCCCAAACACACUGUGCUUAUUCCUGGCUGUAGACCCUUUUCAUGGUUUUCCUUCUUCUCCGAAUGACUUCUAUCUCACUUUCAAAUCCUUCCCUCCUUUCACAUACAGCUUAAUACCUGUUUUCCCCAUGAGGUCUUUUAGGACUGUUCACCUUUUUUCCCACAAUUCAUACCCCAAAAUUUGAUUUUCUUGUGAACUCCUAUAGAUAUUAUUGUCUCAAUUUUCUACUUGAAACUUCAGAUAUAUGAUCUUAAAUAUCGUUUGCUGUAUUUUUCCCUUAUCAUCCACUAACGUUACAUAUUAUUUGAAGGAAAGUGUCUCAGACUUUUUAACAUGGCCAGCAUUGAGCAGAUAUCCAGUUAAUUUCAUGAUGAGAUUGGAAUGUCUAAUAGGGACAUCAUGUAUGGAAUAGUGUCCUCCAACUCAGAUGACUAUUUGCCUUUACAUGACAUCUAUUUUCAUUACAGCUCUUCAUUAUAAAUAUAUUUUGCUUAUAAUUCCACUUCAUUAAGAAUGAUGUUGGGAGUGCACUGUAAAUGUAAUUAUCCAAGUUCCAAAGGAAGAAAAUACUGCUGCUUGGAUUAUUGCAGUGAGGUCAUUCUAAUCUACAUUUUUACUUCUUUGACAAGAGGACAAAUUUGAGCCUGCAAAUUGGUGUUGGGAUACCUUAGCAUAUAUAUUGUACAUGUUGUGGUGUGAGGAGUUCACAGUUAAAUGAACAAUAGGAAUGUGGUAUAUGCCACUGUUCUGCAAUACUUUCAUGGUGGUUUGUAGCUACAAUUUUAAUAUAGUUUAGUAAGUACUUGAACUUCUCCAAACAAAUAACACAGAAUUUUGGAAAUCAGACACAGUCCAUGCUUGCCCCUGAGACUUCCCUCUCUUUGAAUUAGCCAUUGCAGGCUUCUUGUUCUUUAGCUCCUUGCUGAUAGAUGAAGUAUGCUCUCUUCCCAAGGAAAAACUACCUUCUUAAAAAAUGAUUAGGGAUACACACACACACACACACACACACACACACACACACACAUGCGCGCGCACUCUCACAAAGACAAAAAGUGAAUUUUCUACCCUGCAGUACAUCGCUGAAUGCAUUUUGUUACAUAUUUUUAAAAAGUGUUUCUGUUAAGGGCAUCCAAUUGUUAUUUUUAUUUCAUGUAGAAUUAUCUUAUUGCCUUUAUAUAUUUCUGCAAAUGAAUAAUUUACUAUCUUUAACUGUUCUAACAUGUAACAAAGCAGGAAGUUUUAUUUCAUGUUUUUGUGUAUGUGUUUUCUUUUAUUGGCCUACUAUCUUUUUGUCUUCACUUACGUUUCCUUUAAUCUUUGUUUAUCUUGAUAACUCCUUUGAAAGAUAAUCUUAGGAUUAGGAAGUGACAGAGAUCUGAAAAUGGGAAGCAGUCUUUCAACAGACAAGCAGGCCCUAACUCUAUACUCUCAAGAAGUUUAACAUGAACCGUUUGUAAGGCUAAUUUUCUUUUGUGCCUAUGUUUUUUUAGUGAUGAGCAUACAUUCCUGCUGGAAGUAUGUAAAUCUAAGGAUUCUUCAUUAGAACUAUGUUCUUGGUGCCAUAUUGACAAUAUCUAUAUUUUUGCUAUUGUAAAACAGAUACAGUGAGAUUAUUAAAAGAAUCACAUUGAUGCUACAUUGCAGGUGGUAAAGGAAACAGGUGGUAUCAAUUCCCUAGGGGACAUUUAAUUGUGAUCUUUCCUUAGGGUUUCCCUUCCCUUUAGCAGUUGUCCACUGGGAUCCUUCCAGUGUUUUUUGUUUAUCUUUUUACCUUCUUGGUAGAACCUGGCUCCCUUGUGUAGGGCAGGGAAUGAGUCUAAUGAGCAUAAGGUUUAUGGCUUCAAUAGUAAUGUUUAAAAUUCUAGUCCUAGUCUAGCUCUAAUGUUAGUCUAUGGCCUCAGUCAACUGCUAAUGAUAUGACUAUGGCUAUGCCUAAUCAUACUUACUGUGUGCUAUUGAGGGAAGAUUACUGAAUGUAACACAAUUAUUUUACUAAUGCUAACUCUAGAACGUCAAGAGAAACUUCCAGUGACCUUCUGUAUGAUUCAACGAAUUCCUGUAAUUAUGGUAUACAGGACUUGAUCUGCUUUUGAUUAAAAAACAUUGCUACCCAAAACUACCAAACCAUGACAUCUUCAUAGGGGUAUCUCAUGAAUAUCUGCUUGUCUUAUUAACUCUCUUUUGCUAUUAUUAGUUAGCAAGUAAACUCACUGUUUUAAUUCCUUUACUUUUUAAAAAUAAUGUGAUACGUGAUUAACGUUUAAUGUGUCUAUACCCUCUGUGGUAUAUGACUUCUGUCUUUUAGGUCCCUUUGGUAAACUUGCCAGGCUGUUUCUGAUUUCAUGAAGCUGGAACAGAUAUGUGGCUUAAUUGCUUUUAGUCUAAAAGUCUGGGGAGCACUCUGAAAAAGUGACUGUAUCCACAUACCAGAGUUUUGAGAUAUAUAUAUAUAUAUAUAUAUAUAUAUAUAUAUUUUUUUUUUUUUUUUUUUUUUUUUUUCUAUUUGUUAAGGUAUGUUUGCAGGCCAUUUUACCCUCUCUACAUAAAUAGGGUAUGGGAAUUCUAGGCAGCUUGUAACAGUUUUCUUUGGUACUGAUUUUGUCUGUUUAUUAUUUUCUCCAAAGGAGAGCUUGUCAAAUUAUUAUAGAUAGAAAAGAAGUUACAGCUGGUGGCCAUAAAUAUCAUUCCUGAUCCUUAUUAGUUUGCUGUAUUUUAUUUAGAGUAAGAUUUGAACACCUAAUGGCUCUUUGCUUUUUCUUAAAGAAAUGGAAAAACCAAGUACUGGAAGAAGUGCUUGUAUGGAAGAUGGGUGAGACCUGUUACAAAUUGUUCUAAGAAGUAGAAGUUAGAGAGAAAUGAAAGUAUGAACGAGUUAAUUCAUGGACAACAUUGUAACAGAGAAUAGCUGAUUUUCUGGAAUGGUGCAAAGGCAAUCUAUGUGUAGGACAGAGUAUUAAACUAGAACUCCAAGUCAUCCAACCCUGAGAUUCCUGUGCUUCUACUUCUAUGUGCUGGAACCACAUAGGAGGAGUUACUUGGUAUAUAGUUUCCCACAGCAUCUGUUGAGUAUAAUGUUUAAAGGUCAUCCAAAAUAAUACAACUGUAAAAGCAUAUUGGACAUUCAACUUAUAGUAAGGACAAUUUUAGAUCAAGGCCUGAAUUUAGAGGAUUUUUUACCUUAUAUUUUCAUAUUUUUCCUAUCUAUGAAAAUAUAUUAGUUCAGUAUAGUUAUAUAAUUUCAUUAGGAAGGAUCAUUUCUAAAAGUUCAUUAUAAUUUUAUUCUUCCCUUACUGCAAUACAAAAAAUGACAAUGCUGUAGGAUAAAUUGGAAAGUGAAAUAAGAAACAUAACUUCCAAAAGUAGAGUGCUACAAACAAAUUUAGAGUUUUCUACUCUGGCUGAGAUUUCCAAAAGCUUUAUAUUAUGAGCUGAGGUAUGUUUUUCUUUUAGGCUUAAGUAUGUAAAACAAUAGGCUUGUGUUAUUUUGUCUUUUUUCACAGUCUGGCACUGUGAAAUUUCAUACGACUCUUUUAAAACUUGUGAACAUGUAAAAGAAUGCUAAUGACACUAUCUCCCCAAAAGCCUUAGCCAUCGUCCUAGAUGCAACUGUGACAGUAAUAGUGUCUCAUGAAAAACUGGGAAGAAGCUUACACUAAAGUGAACUGAUCUGUGGUUAGUAUUCUGUUUAGUUUUUUGAACACAACUCUGAACUCAGUAUUUAUAGAGAAUUUAGUUUUGGGCCAUUUACGUGGGAAGAUAUUAUUGAUUUAACCAGAUGCUCCAAACCAAGGGAGUAUUUUUAGUAGUACAAAAUAUAAUCACUUUUGCUAAUUCUUCUUCUUCUUCUUUUUUUUUUUUCUGAGACGGAGUCUUACUCUGUCACCCAGGCUAGACUGCAGUGGCGCAAUCUCAGCUCGCUGCAACCUCCAUCUCCCAGAUUCAAGCAGUUCUCCUGCCUCAGCCUCCCAAGUAGCUGGGACUACAGAUGUGUGCCACCAUGCCCGGCUACUUUUUAUAUUUUUAGUAGAGACGGGGUUUCACCAUGUUAGCCAGGAUGAUCUCAAUCUCCUGACCUGUUAUUCGCCCGCCUUGGUCUCCCAAAGUGCUGGGAUUACAGGCAUGAGCCACCGUGCCCACACUCAUUUUUGCUAAUUCUUGUACUCUACUUUGAUGUUACAUAUAGCUUGUUAUUUCAGUGGUCUGGUUUAACAUUUAGUUCAUUUGUUCUGUGUUCACAGUAAAAUUUCUUCAUUACUUGGGAGACAAUGAUAAUAGAUAUCUUUAAUUUUCCACCCCAGGUUAUUAUUGUUUAGUGUACCUUAAUUAAAAACACAUGAAGCAAGUAUUGGAAAUAUAUUGUUUCUCACAUUGUAAGAUAUUACCUACCUAUAAGUUGAUUUUGGAAAUAACUACCUACCUAUCUUGAAUACCAUUUACUUAAAUAAAUAGAUAAUGAGAUGUGUUCUCUAGCUAGAGAUAGACAAUUACAUUUUUCAAAAAGAUGAGGAGUAUCAAAAAAUUAUAUAACAGUUCAGUAGCAUGGUAGGCAUCUGGUAGAAGAGAAAGGAAAAACGACUAGGCAGAGGAUAUAGUGUAUAUAAAGAAACAGGAGAAUGAAAAUAAUCAUGGAACUUUUAGAAACUAUGAGGGGAUGUUUUUUGAGGUAUUGUAGAAUAUGAAGUUAGUAACAUAGAUAGGGUCUUGGAACAUGAAGGCCUUAAAUGCCACAUUGGGAAAUGGGACUCUACUGAAAAUGAUGAAGCAUAAAUGAAUACAGGAAGUUACUGAUUAAAUUCCAUUUAGGGGCAAUCAUUUGCAAUUUCAUGAGUGAAUUAGAAUAAUAUGAAUGAUGAGCAAGAAAUCAUUUAGUAAAUAUUCUAAUAUUUCUGGUGAAAGAUUGAGAGAUAUAAUGAACAGUUAUUACCAAGUCAGUGGCAGUGGGAUUUUAGAGGAGAGGACUAAUGUAAGUAAGAUUAUAAAUAAGUAUAACCUUAAUUGGAUUCCCCAGAUCAUCUGUACAAGUACAAAUAAGGAAAGACACAGCUUAGCGUCAAAUCCUAUGACCAAAGUUUGCAGAGUCCAGGAGUCUCAAUAAAUGUUGCUGGUGAAAUACAGCUUCUAAUGCAGGUUAUGUUAACUUAGAUUGUAUUGUUAUUAAUAGAAAUAUAAUUUCUGAAAUUAGCACCAUGGUGGUCCAGUAUCUGCUGUAUUUUAGUCUAGCCACACUUAAUGUAUCGAAUUUUAUUCUGGCCCAACCUUUAGAAAGAAUGUCAAUAUAUUGGAGUUCAUAACGAAGAGAGGGACUAAAUGACUUGAGUUUUUUGGUAUAGAAGUGUAAAGACUCUGAGUAACAUACUGUUUUCACAUAUUUGAAGGUAUAUCAAACAGAUUUGAUUUUAUUAUAAGAUAAUUGCUAGAUACUUCCAGAGAGAUAGAUGUUAGUUUAAUAGACAUUUCUUAGAUGUCUUUCAUGUGCAAGGUACUACAUUAAGUGUUACUGAUACAAAAAUGAAAUAAACAUGGUCGUUCCCUCAAGACCAUUAAACUAGCUCAGAGUUUAAUGGAAUAGAAAUAAUGAAAUUCAUAAGAGGAACAUUUUUCCAAAGAUAAAUUUGUUUUUUAGAGGUUGUAAAAGGUGUUGAAUACAAGACACGUGGAUGUUUGAAUAAUUUCUAACAUUCUUAAAUUGUGUUAGUUUGAAGCAGGAAUUUCUUUAUUUAAAACUUUGAUUAUAAGUUCAGGGAUACAUGUGCAGGUUUGUUAUAUAGGUAACACAGGGGUUUCUUUUGCAGAUUAUUUCAUUACCCAGGUAUUCCACCUAGUACCCAGUAGCUAUUUUUUCUGCUCCACUCCUUUUUCCCACUGUACCCCCUCUUGUACACACCAGUGUCUGUUGUUCAGUUCUUUGUGUUCAUGUGUUCUUGUUAUUUAUCUCCCACUUAUAAGUAAGAACAUGUGGUAUUUGGUUUUCUGUUCCUGCUUUAGUAUGCUAAUAGUCUUAGCUCUAUCCAUGUUCCCACAAAAGACAUGAUAUUCUUUUUUACACCUGCAUAAUAUUCCAUGGUGUAUAUAUACCAAAUUUUCUUUAUCCAGUCUGUCAUUGAUGUGCAUUUAGGUUGAUUUCACGUCUUUGUUAUUGUGAAUGGACAUUUGCAUGCAUGGGUCUUUAUGACAGAAUGAUUUGUAUUCCUCUGGUUAUAUUCCUAGUAAUGGGAUUAUUGAGUCAAAUGGUAGUUCUGCUUUUAGCUCUUUGAGGAAUUGCCAUACUGCUUCCCACAAUGGUUGAACUGAUUUACAGUCCCCAAAAUAGUGUAUAAUGAGAUGUGUUCCCCUUUCUCUGAAACCUCACAACCUCUGUUAUUUUUAUUUACUUUUUAAUAGCCAUUCUGACUGGUGUGAAAUGGUAUCUCAUUGUGGUUUUGAUUUGUAUUUCUCUAAUCACUGAUAUUGAGCUUUUUUACAUGUGCUUGUUGGCCACAUGUAUGUCUUUUGAAAAGUGUCUGUUCAUGUCCUUUGCCUACUUUUUUAUCAGGUUGUGAUAUGGUUUGACUGUGUCCCCACCCAAAUUUUAUCUUGAAUUUCUGUGUGUUGCGGGAGGGACCCAAUGGGAGGUAAUUGGAUCAUGGGGACAGGUCUUUCCCAUGCUGUUCUCAAGAUAGUGAGCUGUCUCAUGAGACCUGGGGUUUUAAAAAGGGGAAUUUCCCUGCACAAGCUCUCUCUCUUUUUGCCUGCUGCCAUCCACAUAAGAUAUGAGUUGUUCUUCCUUUCACCAUGAUUGGGAGGCCUCCUCAGCCAUGUGGGGAACUGUAAGCCCAUUAAACCUCUUUCUUUUGUAAAUUGCCCAGUCGGGUAUGUCUUUAUCAGCCACAUGAAAACAGACUAAUACACUAAAUUGGUACCAGUAGAGUGGGGACCUGCUGGAAAGAUAACCAAAAAUGUGGAAACAAGUUUGGAACUGGGUAAUGGGCAGAUAUUGGAACAGUUUUGAGGGCCCAGAAGAAGAUGGGAAAAUGUGGGAAAGUUUGGAACUUUUAGAGACUUGUUGAAUGGCUUUGACCAAAAGCCUGAUUCCAAUAUGGACAAUAAGGUCCAAGUUGAGGUGGUCUCAAAUGGAUAUGAGAAACUUGUUGGGAACUGGAGCAAAGGUGAUUCUUGUUAUGUUUUAGCAAAGAGACUGGCGGCAUUUUACUCCUUCUCUAGAGAGUUGUGGAACUUUGAACUUCAGAGAAGUGAUUUAGAGUAUCUGGUGGAAGAAAUUUCUAAGCAGCAAAGCAUUCAAAGGGCAGCUUGGAGGCUGUUAAAAGCAUUCCAUUUUAAAAGGGAAACAACAUGAAAGUUUGGAAAAUUCGCAGCCUGAUGUGAUAGAAAAGAAUCCCAUUUUCUGAAGAGAAAUUCAAGCCAGCUGCAGAAAUUUGCAUUAGUAAUGAGGAUCUCAAUGUUGACCCCCAAGACAAUGGGAAAAAUGUCUUCAGGCAUGUCAGAGGUUUUUAUGGCAGCCCCUCCCACCCUGGGUCUGGAAACCUAGGCAGAGAAAAUGGUUUUGUGGGCUGGGCCCAAGAUCCCAGUGCUGUGUGCAGUCUAGAGAUUUGGUGCCCUGCAUCCCAACUGCUCCAGCUGUGACUAAAAUGGGCCAUGGUUACAGCUCAUGCCAUUGCUUCAGGGAGUGCCAGCCCCAUGCCUUGGCACCUUCUAUGUGUUGUUGAGUCUGUGGGUAGACAGAAGUCAACAAUUAAGGUUUGGGAAUCUCCACCUAGAUUUCAGAGGAUGAGUAGAAAUGCCUGGAUGUCCAGGCAGAAGUUUGCUGCAGGGGCAGGACUCUCACAGAGAACCUCUGCUACAGCAGUGCAGAAGGGAAAUAUGGGGUGGAAGCCCCCAGAUAGAGUCUCUACUGGGGCACCACCUAGUGGAGUUGUGAGAAGAGGGCUACCAUUUUCCAGACGCCAGAAUGGUAGGUCCACCUAUAGCUUGCACUGUGCACCUGGAAAAGCCAGAAGACACUCAGUGCCAGCCUGUGAGAGCAGACAGGAGGGACACUGUACCCUGCAAAGCCACAUGGGCCAAGCUGCCUUAGAUCAUGGGAAUCCCCUCUUGCAUCAGCAUGACCUGGAUGUGAGACAUGGAGUUAACGGAGAUCAUUUUUGAGCGUUAAGAUUUGGCUGCCCCACUGGAUUUUGGACUUGCAUGGGGUUGUAGCCCCUUUGUUUUGGCCACUUUCUUCUAUUUGGAAUGGCUGUAUUUAACCAAUGCCUGUACCCCCAUUGUAUCUAGGAAGUAACUAACUUGCUUUUGAUUUUACAGGCUCAUAGGUGGAAGGAACUUUCCUUGUCCCAAUUGAGACUUUCGACUGUGGACUCUUGAAUUAAUGCUGAAAUUAGUUAAGAUUUGGGGGACUGUUGGGAAGGCAUGAUUGGUUUUGAAAUGUGUGGAUAUGAGAUUUAGGAGGGUCUAGAGGCAGAAUGAUAUGGUUUGGCUGUGUCCCCACCCAGUUCUCAUCUUUAAUUGUAGCUCCUGUAAUUCCCACAUGUCAUGGGAGGGACCUGGUGGGAGGUAAUUGAAUGAUGGUUGUGGGUCUUUCCCAUGCUGUUCGCAUGAUAGUGAAUAAGUCUCGUGAGAUAUGAUGGUCAUAAAAAUGGGAGUUCCCCUGCACAUAUUCUCUCUUGUCUGCUGCUAUGUAAGACAUGACUUUCACCUUCCACCAUGAUUGUGAGGCCUCCCCAGCCACAUGGACUUGGGAGUCUGUUAAACCUCUUUUUCUUUAUAACUUACCCAGUCUUAGGUAUAUUUUUAUCAGCAGCAUGAAAAUGGGCUAAUACAUGGUGUAGGAAAGGGGUCCAGCUUCACUCUUCUGCAUAUGGCUAGCCAGUUAUCCCAGCACCAUUUAUUGAAUAGGGAGUUCUUUCUCCAUUGCUUGUUUUUGACAGCUUUGUCAAAGAUCAGAUGGUUGUAUAUAUGUUGUCUUAUUUCUGGGUACUCUAUUCUGUUACAUUUGUCUAUGUGUCUUUUCUUGUACCUGUACCAUGCUAUUUUGGUUACUGUAGCCCUGUAAUAUAGUUUGAAGUUGGUAGCAUGAUGCCUCCUGCUUUGUUCUUUUUGUUUAGGAUUGUCUUGACUAUUCUGGCUCAUUUUUGGUUCCAUAUGAAUUUUUACAUAGUUUAUUUCUAGUUCUGUGAAGAAUGCCAAUGGUGGUUUGAUGGGAAUAGCAUUGAAUUUUUGAAUUCCUUUGAGCAGUAUGGCCAUUUUAACAAUAUUGAUUCUUCCUAUUCGUGAACAUGGAUUUAUUUAUUUGUGUCCUGUCUUUAUUUUUUAUUUUAAUUAAAAAAAUUUGUUUUCCUUCUCUUAUUUUUUUGAGCAAUGGUUUGUAGUUUUCCUUGCAGAGAGCUUUUACUUCCCUACUUAGCUGUAUUCCUAGGUAUUUUAUUCUUUUUGUUUCAGCAGUGAAUGAGACUGCAUUCCUGAUUUGGCUCUCACCUUGGCUGUUGUUGGUGUAUAGGAAUGCUAGUGACUUUUGUAUAUUGAUUUUGUCUCCUGAAACUUUGCUGAAGUGGUUGCUCAGCUUAAGAAGCUUUUGGGCUGAGACAAUGUGGUUUUCUAGAUAUAGAAUCUAGAAACUGGAGGGAUAGUUUGCUGACCAUUUUAAUGCCAUUUAUUUCUUUGUCUUGCCUGAUUACCUUGGCCAGAACUUCCAUUAGUAUGUAGAAUAGGAGUGGUGAGAGAGGGCAUCCUUAUUUUGUGCCAUUUUUUGGGGGGAAUGCUUUCAGCUUUUGCCCAUUUAGUAUGAUGUUUCCUGUGAUUUUGUCAUACAUGAGUCUUAUUAUUUUGAGAUCUUCCUUCAAUACCUAGUUUAUUGAGUUUUGCACAUGAAUGGAUGUUGAAUUUUAUUGUAAGUGUUUUCUGCAUCUACUGAGAUAAUGAUGUGUGUGUGUGUGUUUUUUCUAGAGGUGGAGUUUCACUAUGUUGGCCAGGCUGGUCUUUUUUUUUAUUGCAUUUUAGGUUUGGGGGUACAUGUGAAGAACAUGCAAGAUUAUUGUAUAGGUACACACAUGGCAGUGUGAUGUGCUGCCUUCCUCCCCAUCACCUAUAUCUGGCAUUUCUCCCCAUGCUAUCUCUCCCCAACUCCCCACCCCCUCCACUGUUCCUCCUCUAAUUCCCCCCCAACAGACCCCAGUGUGUGAUGCUCCCCUCCCUAUGUCCAUGUAUUCUCAUUGUUCAACACCCAUCUAUGAGUGAGAACAUGUGGUGUUUGAUUUUCUUUUCUUGUGUCAGUUUGCUGAGAAUGAUGGUUUCCAGGUUCAUCAAUGUCCCUAUAAAGGACAUGAACUCAUCAUUUUUGAUGGCUGCAUAGUAUUCCAUGGUGUCUCUGUGCCACAUUUUCCCUGUCCAGUCUAUCACCAAUGGGCAUUUGGGUUGGUUCCAGGUCUUUGCUAUUGGAAACAGUGCUACAGUGAACAUUCGUGUGCAUGUGUCCUUAUAGUAAAACAAUUUAUAAUCCUCUGGAUAUAUACCCAGUAAUGGGAUUGUUGGGUCAAAUGGAAUUUCUAUUUCUAGGUCGUUGAGGAACUGCCACACUGUCUUCCACAAUGGUUGAACUAAUUUAUACUCCCAGUAACAGUGUAAAAGUGUUCCUAUUUCUCCACAUCCUCUCCAGCAUCUGUUGUCUCCAGAUUUUUUAAUGAUCGCCAUUCUAACUGGCGUGAGGCGGUAUCUCAAUACCACCUCUCAAUAGUUUUGAUUUGCAUUUCUCUAAUGACCAGUGAUGAUGAGCAUUUUUUCAUAUGUGUGUUGGCCUCGUGUACGUCUUCUUUUGUAAACUGUCUGUUCAUAUCCUUUAGCAACUAUUGAAUGGGCUUUUUGUUUUUUUCUUGUAAAUCUGUUUUAGUUCUUUGUAGAUUCUGGAUACCAGCCCUUUGUCAGAGGGGUAGAUUGCAAAAAUUUUUUCCCAUUCUGUUGGUUGCCGAUUCACUCUAAUGACUGUUUCUUUUGCUGUGCAGAAGCUGUGGAGUUUGAUUAGGUCCCAUUUAUCUAUUUUGGCUUUUGUUGCCAAUGCUUUUGGUGUUUUGUUCAUGAAGUCCUUGCCUACGCCUAUGUCCAGAAUGGUUUUGUGUAGAUUUUCUUCUACGGUUUUUAUGGUGUUAGGUCUUAUGUUUAAGUCUUUAAUCCAUCUGGAGUUAAUUUUAGUGUAAGGUGUCAGGAAGGGGUCCAGUUUCUCCUUUCUGCACAUGGCUAGCCAGUUUUCCCAACACCAUUUAUUAAACAGGUACUCCUUUCCCCAUUGCUUAUUUUUGUCAAGUUUCUCAAAGAUCGGAUGGUUGUAGAUGCAUGGUGUUGCCUCUGAGGCCUCCGUUCUGUUCCAUUGGUCUAUAUCUCUGUUUUGGUACCAGUACCAUGCUGUUUUGAUUACUAUAGCCUUGUAGUUAGUUUGAAGUCUGGUAGUGUGAUGCCUCCCACUUUGUUUUUUUUUCUUUUGCUUAGAAUUGACUUGGCUAUGCGGGCUCUCUUGGUUCCAUAUGAAGUUCAUGGUGGUUUUUUACAGUUCUGUGAAGAAGAUCAUUGGUAGCUUGAUGGGGAUAGCAUUGAAUCUGUAAAUUACUUUGGGCAGUAUGAUCAUUUUCAUGAUAUUGAUUCUUUCUAACCAUGAGCAUGGAAUGUUUCUCCAUCUGUUUGUGUCCUCUCUUAUUUUGUUGAGCAGUGGUUUAUAGUUCUUCUUGAAGAGGUCCUUUACAUCUUUUGUUAAUUGUAUUCCCAGGUAUUUUAUUGUCUUUGUAGCAAUUGUGAAUGGCAGUUCAUUCUUGAUUUGGCUCUCUUUAAGUUUGUUAUUAGUGUAUAGGAAUGUUUGUGAUUUUUGCACAUUGAUUUUGUAUCCUGAGACUUUGCUGAAGUUGCUUAUCCAUUUCAGGAGAUUUUGGGCUGAGACGAUGGGGUCUUCUAAAUAUACAAUUAUGUCAUCUGCAGAUAGGGACAAUUUGAAUUCCUCCUUUCCUAUUUGAAUACCCUUUAUUUCUUUUUCUUGCCUGAUUGCUCUGGCUAGAACUUUCAAUACUUUAUUGAACAGGAGUCAUGAGAGAGGGCAUCCUCGUCAAGUGCCAGAUUUCAAAGAGAAAUCUUACAUUUUUUGUCCAUUCAGUAUGAUAUUGGCUACUAGUUUGUCAUAAAUAGCUUUUAUUAUUUUGAGAUACAUUCUGUCAAUACCUAGUUUAUUGAGGGGUUUUGGCAUAAAGGGCUGCUGAAUAUUGUCAAAGGCUUUCCAUGCAUCAAUUGAGAUAAUCAUGUGGUUUUUGUCUUUGGUUCUGUUUAUGUGGUGUAUUACAUUUAUAGACUUGUGCUUGUUGAACCAGCCUUGCAUCCCCGGGAUGAAGCCUACUUGAUCGUGGUGGAUAAGCUUUUUGAUGUGCUGUUGCAAUCGGUUUGCCAGUAUUUUAUUGAAGAUUUUUGCAUCUAUGUUCAUCAUGGAUAUUGGCCUGAAGUUUUCUUUUCUUGCUGAGUCUCUGCCAGGUUUUGGUAUCAGGUUGAUGUUGGUCUCAUAAAUUGAUUUGGGAAGGAUUCCCUCUUUUUGGAUUGUUUGGAAUAGUUUCAGAAGUAGUGGUUAACAGCUCCUCUAGGUAUGUCUGGUAGAAUUUGGCUGUGAACCCAUCUGGACCUGGGCUUUUUUUGUGUGGUAGGCUCUUAAUUGCUGCCUCAACUUCAGACCUUGUUAUUGGUCUAUUCAGGGUUUUGGCUUCUUCCUAGUUUAGGCUUGGGAGGAUGCAAGUGUCCAGGAAUUUACAUUUCUUCCAGGUUUACUAGUUUAUUUGCAUAGAGAUGUUUGUAAUAAUCUCUGAUUAUGGUUUGAAUUUCUGUGGAAUCUGUGGUGAUAUCCCCUUUAUUGUUUUUUAUUGCAUCUAUUUGAUUAUUCUCUUUUCUUUUUUUAUUAAUCUGGCUAGCCGUCUGUCUAUUUUGUUGAUCUUUUCAAAAAACCAGUUCCUGGAUUUAUUGAUUUUUUUGAAGGGUUUUUUUGUGUCUCUCCUUUAGUUCUGCUCUGGUCUUAGUUAUUUCUUGUCUUCUGCUAGGUUUUGAAUUUUUUUGAUCUUGCUCCUCUAGGUCUUUCUAUUUUGAUGAUAGGGUGUCAAUUUUAGAUCUUUCCUUCCUUCUCAUGUGGGCAUUUAUUGCUAUGUAUUUUCCUCUAGACACUGCUUUAAAUGUGUCCCAGAGAUUCUGGUAUGUUGUGUCUUGGUUCUCAUUGGUUUCAAAGAAUAUCUUUAUUUCUGCCUUCAUUUCAUGAUUUAUUCAGUCAUCAUUCAAGAGCCAGUUGUUCAGUUUCCAUGAAGCUGUGCACUUCUGAGUUAGUGUCUGAAUUCUGAGUUCUAACUUGAUUGUGCUGUGGUCUGAGAGACUGUUUGUUAUGAUUUCCAUUGUUUUGCAUUUGCUGAGGAGUGAUUUCCAAGUAUGUGGUAAAUUUUAGAGUAGUUGUGAUGUGGUGCUGAGAAGAACGUAUAUUCUGUGGAUUUGGGGUAGAGAGUUCUGUAGAUGUCUAUUAUAUUUGCUUGUUCCAGGUCUGAGUUAAAGUCCUGGAUAUCCUUGUCAAUUUUCUGUCUUGUUGAUCUGUCUAAUAUUGACAAUGAGACGUUAAAGUCUCCCACUAUUGUAUGGGAGUCUAAGUCUCUUUCUAAGUCAUUAAGAACUUGCUUCAUGUAUCUGGGUGCUCCUGUAUUGGGUGUGUAUACAUUUAGGAUAGUUAGCUCUUCUUGUUGCAUUGAUACUUUUACCAUUAUGUAAUGUCCUUCUUUGUCUCUUUUGAUCUUUGUUGGGUUAAAGUCUAUUUUAUAUGAGAUGGGAGUUGCAACUCCUGGUUUUUUUUUGCUCUCCAUUUGCUUGGUAAAUCUUUCUCUAUCCCUUUAUUUUUAACCUUUGUGUAUCCUUGCAUGUGAGAUGGGUUUCCUGGAUACAGCACAUCGAUGGGUUUUGGCUUUCCAUCCAAUUUGCCAGUCUGUAUCUUUUGAUUGGGGCAUUUAGCCCAUUUACAUUUAGAAUUAAUAUUGUUAUGUGUGAAUUUGAUCCUGCCAUUUUGAUGGUAGCUGGCUGUUUUGCCGAUUAGUUGAUGCAGUUUCUUCAUUGUGUUGAUGCUCUUUACCAUUUGGUAUGUUUUUGGAGUGACUGGUACUGGUUGUUCCUUUCUAUGUUUAGUGUUUCUUUCAGGAGCUCUCGUAAAGCAGGCCUAGUGGUGAUGAAAUCUCGGACUACUUGCUUGUUCACCAAAGAUUUUAUUUUUCCUUCACUUAUGAAGCUUAGUUUGGCUGGAUAUGAAAUUCUGGGUUGAAAGUUCUUUUUUUUAAGGAUGUUGAGUAUUGGCCCCCACUCUCUUCUGGCUUGUAGGGUUUCUGCUGAGAUAUCUGCUGUGAGUCUGAUGGGCUUCCCUUUGUUGGUAACCCGACCUUUCUCUCUAGCUGCCCUUAGCAUUUUCUCCCUCAUUUCAACCCUGGUGAAUCUGAUGAUCAUGAGCUUUAGGGUUGCUCUUCUUGAGGAAUAUCUUUGUGGUGUUCUCUGUAUUUCCUGGACUUGAAUAUUGGCCUCCCUUGCUAGUUUGGGGAAGCUUUCCUGGAUAAUAUCCUGAAGAGUAUUUUCCAGCUUGGAUUCAUUCUCUUUGUCACAUUCAGGUACACCUAUCAAAAGCUGAUUAGGUCUUUUCACAUAGUCCCAUAUUACCUGGAGACUUAGUUGAUUCCUUUUUAACCUUUUUUUUCUAAUCUUGCCUUAUCAUUUUAUUUCGAGUUGAUCUUCGACCUCUGAUAUCUUUUCUUCUGCUUGGUCAAUUUGGCUGUUGAAACUUGUUUAUGCUUCGUGAAGUUCUCGUGUUGUGUUUUUGAGCUCCAUCAAUUCACUUAUAUUCUUCUCUAAGUUGUUUAUUCUCAUUAGUAUUUCCUCAAAUCUUAUUUCAAGGUUCAUAGUUUCUUUGCAUUGGGUUAGGAUGUGUUCUUUUAGCUCACGGAAGUUUCUUAUUACCUACCUUCUGAAGCCUGAUGCUGUCAAUUCAUCACACUUAUUCUCCAUCCAUCCUUGUUCCUUUGCUGGUGAGGAGUUGUGAUCCUUUGUAGGAGGAGAAGAGGUAUUCUGGUUUCAGGUGUUUUCAUCCUUUUUGCGCUGGUUUCUUACCAUCUUUGUGUAUUUAUUCACCUGUCGUCUUUUUAGUUGUUUACUUUCAGAGUGGGUCUCGAGUGGAUGCCUGGUUUGUUGAUGAUGAAGUUAUUUCUUUCUGUUUCUUAGUUUUCCUUCUAACAGUCUGGCCCCUCUGCUGUAGGACUGCUGAGGUCCACUACAGGCCCUGCUUGCCUGGGAAUCACCUGCAGCGGCUGCAGAAUAAUAAGGGUUACUUCCAGUUUCUUCUUCUGCUAUCUUUGUCCCUGAAAGAUACCCGCCUGAUGUCAGUCUGAGCUCUCCUUUAUGAGGUGACUCUUUGCAUAUACGGGGGUCAGAGAGCUGAUUGAGGAAACAGUCUGUCCUUUAUAGGAGCUCAAGUGCUGAGCUGUGAGCUCCAUUGUUCAUUCAGAGCUGCUGGGCAGGUAUGUUUAAGUCUGCUGCAGCAGAACUCAUAAACCCACUUUUUUUUCCCCCAGGUGCUAUGUCCCGGGGAGUUAGGGCUUUAUUGAUGAGUUUCUGUUUUGCUGCUGGCUUUUUUCAGGGCUGCCCUGCCCAGCGAGGAGGCAGCCUAGUCACUGUCUUCCACAUAGGCUUUGCUGAGCUACUGUAGGCUCUGCCCAGCUGCUGUGUGUACUUCCCUGCAGUCCUGUUUAUAUGAGUAUAGUUAGAACUGCCUUGGCAAUGGCAGCCCACCUCUGUAAUUGCUGACUCUCUGUGUAACGGCAGGCUGCCUCAGCAAGGGCUGGCCGCCUCAGCAAUGAUGUAGUGGUGGACUGCCUCAGUAAAGGCGGACAUCCCUCCCCCACAGAGCUGGACCAUCCCGGGUUCAGCUAUGCUUGCUGUGAAACUCUCAAUCCAGGGCAUUUCAGAUUGCUGUUUUUUUGUGGGGGUGGGACCAGCCGAACUUGAUCACCUGGCUCCCUGCCUCAGAACCCUUUUUUUUGAGUUGAAUGGGUGACUGUCCCAGGUGUUCUGGUCACCUGUUGAAAGGUGCCAGGAUCUGUGUGAUUUCACAUGCAGUGACCCACUGCACUGGCUAAAACAGCAGUGCUGAGAUUAGUGGUGCUUUCUUGCCUAGGAAUCUCCUGGCCUGGCUCCCUGUUUCAGUCCCCCUUUUUUUUUUGUCAGUUGAAUGGGUGACUUUCUAUCCCGGGAGCUACAAUCACCAGCUAAAAUGGCACCUGGACCCAUGUAUUUUGUGCAGACAACUGUCUUGCCAGGGCGCCAGCCAAAACAGGCUUGCCGGCCAAGACAGCUGUGCUGGCAACCUGUGGGGCUCCUCCACCUGGGAAUCUCCUGGUCUAUGGGCAAUAAAAAUCCAUCUGGAAAUGCGGCAUCCACUCACCCUCCGCGCUUUCACUGGGAGCCACAAUCCUGAGCUGCUCCUAAUCAGCCAUCUUGGAUCCAUCUCCGGCCAGGUUGAUCUUGAAUUCCUGACCUUGUGAUCCACCUGUCUCGGCUUCCGAAAGUGCUGGGAUUACAGGCAUGAGCCACCAUCCCUGGCCAAUGAUGUGGUUUUAGUCUUUAGUUCUGUUUAUAUGAUGAAUCACAUUUCUUGAUUUGCACAUGUUGAACCAACCUUGCAUCCUAGGAAUUAAGCCUACUUGAUCAUAGUGAAUACGCUUUUUGACAUGGUGCUCAAUUUGGUUUGCCAAUAUUUCAUUGAGGAUUUUUGUGUCCAUGUUCAUCAAUAAUAUUGGCCUGAAGUUUUCAUUUUUUGUUGUCUCUCUUCCAGGUUAUGGUAUCAGGAUGAGACUGGCCUUGUAGAGUGCAUUAGGGAGGAAUCCCUCCUUUUCAAUUUUUGGAAUAGUUUCAAUAGGAAAGAUACCAGCUCUUCUUAGUACAUCUGGUAGAAUUCAGCUGUGAAUCUAUCUGGUCCUGGGCUUUUUUUUUUUCAUGGCGGGGGAGGUUGGUAAAUGGUAGUACUCAAUUUCAGUACUCAUUAUUGGUCGUCUUGGGGAUUCAGUUUCUUCCUGGUUUAGUCUUGGGAGUGUGUAUGUGUCCAGAAAUGUAUCUGUUAGUUCUAGAUAUUCUACUUGUUGUGCAUAGAGGUGUUUAUAAUAUUCUCUGAUGGUUAUUUGUAGUUCUGUGGGUUGAGUGGUAGUAUCCUCAUUGUCUCUGAUUGUGUUUAUUUGAAUCUUCUUUUCUUUCUUCUUUAUUAUUUAGUUAAUGGUCUAUCGCAUUGAUUUUUUUUUUCAGAAAGGAAGCUUCUAUAUUUGUUUAUCAUUUGAAUUUUUUUGGGGUCUUUUUCUCCUUCAGUUCAGCUCUGAUUUUGUUUUUUUCUUGUCUUCUUCUAGCUUUGGGAUUCGUUUGCUCUUGGUUCUCUAGUUCUUUUAGUUGUGAUGUUAGAUUGUUAAAUUGAGGUAUUUGUAAGUUUUUCAUGUCGGUAUUUAGUACUAAAAAUGUCCCAUUUAACACUGCCUUAGCCAUGUCCAAGAGCUUCUGGUAUGUUGUGCUUUUAUAGUUAGUUCUUGUUGAAUAGAAAUAAGAGAAAUAAGAUCUUUUUCAGAAAAGCAAAGGCUGAGAGAAUUUGUUACCACCAGACCUGCCUUAUAAGAGCUGCUGAUGGAAGUAUGGAAAGAAACUAAGUAUGGAAAGAAAAGACCAUUAGCAUCCAUUACAAAGCGCACAGAAGUACAUAGAUCAGGCACGCUAUAAAGCAACCACAUAAAAAAGUCUACAAAUAGCCAGUUGAUAAAGGGUGUAAAUACAGUCCUUACCAUUGUGUAAUGCCCAUCUUUGUAUUUUUUAAAAAAACCUUUGUUGUUUUAAAGUCUGUUUUUUUUUUUUUUUUUUUUUUUUUUCAGAAAGUAGGAUAGUAGCCCCUGCUCUUUUCUGUUUUCCAUUUCCUUGGUAGAUUUUCCUCCAUCCCUUUAUUUUGUGCCUAUGUAUGACACUGCAUGUGAGAUGGGUCUCUUAAAGACACCAUACCAAUGAGUCUUGGUCCUUUAUCCAGCUUUCCACUCUGUGUCUUUUAUUUAAGGCAUUAAGCCCAUUUACAUUUAAGGUUAGUAUUGAAAAUGUGUUGAUUCGUUCCUGUCCUCGUGUCAUUAGCUAGUUAUUACAGACUUGUUUAUGUGGUUGCUUUAUAGUGUACCUGGUCUGUGUACUUCAGUGUGUUUUGCAGUGGCUGCUAAUGUUCUCUCCUUUCCAUAUUUCGUGCUCUUGUAAGGCAGGUUUAGUAAUAAUGAAGUCCCUCAGCAUUUGCUUGUCUGGAAAGGAUCUUAUUUCUCCUUCAUAAGAAGCUUAGUUUGGCCAGAUAAGAAAUUUUGAGUUGUAAUUUUUUUCAUUAAGAAUGUUGAAAUAUUGGCCCGCUUGUCUCUUUUGGCUUAUAGGGUUUCCAAUGAAACUUUCAAUGUUAGUCUGAUGGACUUCCCUCUGUAGGUGACCUGGCAUUUAUUUCUCACUGCCCUUAACAUUUUUCUUUUUCAUUUCAACCCUGGAGAGCUGAAGCCAACUGGGAUAGAAGCAGACCCCAGCACAGCACAAUUUUUCUAUGGAAGUGUGACCAGACUGCUUCUUUUAGCAAGUCCCCAAUCCUAUUUCUCCUGCUUAGGUGAGACCUCCCAACUGGGGUACUCAGUCUCCUCUUAUAGGUGCAUUUGGGCUGGCAACGGGUCCAUACCUCCUUGGUACAGAGCUCUUAGUGGAAGGGGAAGGCUGCCGUCUUUCCUGUUUCUCAGCCUUCACUGCUGAUACCUCCAGGUACCCAAAAAUUUGAGGUGCCUAGGGACUAGACCAAAUGAAGUCCCAGCAAACCACAGCAACCAUAUGGAAAAGUUGCCAAUUUGUAUUAAAAAAAAAUCCAAAGGUCAGCAACCUGAAUGAUUGAAGGUAGAUAAGCCCACAAAGAUGAGAAAGAAUCAGUGCAAGACACUGAAAGCUAAAAAAAGCCAGAGUACACUCUUUCUUCCCAAUGACUCUCAUUACCUCUCCAGCAAGGGUUCAGAACUGGGCUGAGGCUGAGAUGGCUGAAAUGACAGAAAUAAAAUUCAGAAUAUGGGUAUAAACGAACUUCACUGAGCUAAAGGAGUAUGUUGGAAGCAAAUGCAAGGAAACUAAAUAUGAUAAAACAUUGCAGGAGACAACAGACAAAAUCUCCAGUAUAGAGAAGAAUGUAACCAACCUAACAGAGCUGAAAAACACACUAUAAGAAUUCCAUAAUGCAAUCACAAGUAUUAAUAGUGGAAUAGAACAGGCAUAGUAAAAAAUCUCAGAGCUUAAAGACUGUCUCUCUGAAUUAAGUCAGGCAGAUAAGAACAGAGAAAAAAGAAUAAAAAGGAAUGAAGAAAACCUUGAAAAAACAUGGGAAUUUAUAACUGAUUUGUACCUGAAAAUGCUGGGAAGAAUGGAACUAAUUUCGAAAACAUAAUUCAGGAUAUCUUCCAUGAGAACUUUCCCAACCUAGCUAGACAGGGCAGUGUUCAAAUUCAGUAAAUUCAGAGAACCCCAGUUAAAUAUUCCUAAGACAUAUAAUUUUACUUUUUUCUUUAGAAAACCUUAUAGAAUAUACUAACUAUUCUAAGUUGCUUUACAAAUAGUUAUUCUUUAAGAAUCCUGUGAAAUUGGUAAAGUUAUUUUAUUCCUUUUACAAAUCACACAGAAUUAUGUAAGAUGUCCAAGGUAACAGCUAGUAAGUGGAAUAGGUAGGAUUUUUCUGCCUCUAGUUCUUGAGUAAUAGCAUCAUUAACCUUUUCUAGAAUUAACUUACUAUUUCUUAGUAGUUGAUUAAUAACUGUUUCUAAAGAAAGCAUAGUGUAAGUUAAGUAAAAUUAGGUUUUAGAAAACAUUUUACAAGAAAAUUCUAUCCUAGACAAUUUCUCUGAUGUUUGAGUAUCUUCAUUCAGAUAUCCUAUAGCAAGACUCUCAAGCAAGACCUGAGGUGUUAAUGAAAAAAGAGUGCAUUAAAAGAAUGGCGAACCCAAUGGUAGGGUUAGUCCAUUGAAAACAAUUGGUGCUCAUUUGAGAAAAUGUGUCCAGGAUAAUUUUAGGCAUCAAAUGCAAACAUCAGGAUAUGUGACUCACACACCUUUCAGAAAAGUUGUAGAAUAUUGACAAUGUCAUAGGAUCAACUGAAAGGUAAAGAUAAUUUGUUUGCUUGUACCUUAAAAGAGCUAAAUUAUUGAAAAUGUCUUAGAACACUUAAAGUUUGACAAAAUUUAAAUAUUAUCACAAAUUAAAAGGUCUAUUAUUUGAUCUCCUUUCAUCACUUACUUUAAAUUGUCAGAAACUUAUGUAAAAACUGGAAUUCUAGGAGUUCUAAGAAGGAUAACGGAUUGAGCUGAUUGCUUUCCUGAAACACUCUCUGAAAAGGACAAAAAGAACCAAAGAUAGAGGCGUAAGCUUUAGCCAUAAAUGAUACAAUAGCAGUGACUUUUGCUCCAUUACCUUUAUGGAAAAGAUUAUUUUCUAGAUAGUCUUGUCAUGAGCUCUUUGGGGGUUGCUUUUCUGGCUGGAAACCUGUGGCUGGUGGCACCUUUGCCCAAAUUUUACUUGGGCCUGCUGGGCUCAUUCAACCCACUCAGCCUGGUAGGCUGCGCUCACCUCAUGCUACCAGCCUUGAUCCCAUGCCUCCCAGGGAGACUGCAAGCCAAGCAUGGAGUGGGGAAGAGUGUAUGAGUGAUCAUGGGGUCCAGCCACUGUGCAGUCAGACUUGUCUACUGCUGUCACAGGGCAGGCAGCCCCAGGUGCUGACAUGGUCUCCAGCUCUCUGCAAGGGUGCAGCUAGACCCAGUGCAAGGCAAGCAGCUUCCCCAGCUGGUACCAGGGAGUGCGGUGGCACCCAGAAGCUUAUAGACACCAUGAACCACAGGACCCCAAAGAGGGAGUCACAGUCCUGGCUCUGGGAACUCGUAGGUCUAGUUUCCCCAAAUGGCCACAGCUCUUGUCUCCUUCUCUUUGCUUGGAAUGUGGCAAGCAAGGGGCAUGUUUCAGCCCUGUUAGUAUUAAAGCACGUUUAGCCCUGCCAUUUGGUGGGUUCCAAGUUCUUGUCCUGCGACCAGCAAGAAUGAGGUACACAGACAAAUGAAGGGUGACCAAGAGGAAGAGGAGCUUUUUGGAGUGAUAGAACACUCAGAGAGAGAGGAACUCAAGAUGGCGCUGUGAGAACAACCCAGGAUUGAAGCUCUCGCUUCAUCCGCGGAGAGGUGAGUCAGAGCUGCAUUUUCAGACUGAUCUUUGUUGCCUACAGAAUGGGGAAAUUCCCAAGUAUAAAGGAGACGUGGGACACCAGGCAGAGGCUCUGCAUGGAGAAGCCGGCAGCCGGGGUGGCGGCGGCCGGCCCUACCCAGCGAUCCCCACAGGGCGCGCUUGUCCGGGUGCCCUGUUGAAACAGCAACCUGAGACUUGAGAGGGCUGAACUUGAGACUGAAAGGGACUUGGGCAGUGGGCCAGCCCAGGGGAUUGCAGGGACACAGCAUUCGGGAUAGCGCAGUGGGACAGACAAAACGGCGAUUCCAAAUGCUCGCCGUGGAGACGGUCCCUGAGGCACUCUGUCGGGGAGGGGCGUCCACCAUUACCGAGGCAACCCUCCCCGACUGAGACACAUGCCCACUGCUGACGCAACCUGCAGUUGCCGAGGCAACCCGCCCCUACUGAGAUACACGCCCACUGCUGACGCAGCCUGCCAUUGCCGAGGCAACCUGCUACAACAGAGAGACUCCGCUGCAGGGCGUAGCCCAUGGCGGAGACCGCAGCAGAAGAGCAAGAGCCUGCAGCAACAGGGCGAACUUCACAACAGCAGGGCGGAGCCUUGGCAGUCAAAUAGUGAUUAGACUGCCUCCUAGCUGGGCAGGACACCUCAACAGACAUCCAAAAACAAAGCCCAAACCCCCCAUGACAGAGCAUUUGAGAAAAAAAGGGGUUUUUUAAUGAGCUCUGUUGCAACAGAAUAAAACAUAGGAGCCUAACAGCCCGGAAUGAACAACAGAGCUCAGUACAUGAGCUCCUAUAAAGUACAGAUUGUCUCCUCAAGCAGCCCUGACCCCUCUAUAUCCAAAAGACUGACAUUUGGCAGGCAUCAUCCUGGGACAAAGAUAGCAGAAAAAGAAACUGGUAGCAUCCCUCACUGUUCCGCAGCUGCUAUAGGUGCACCCCAGACAAGCAGGGCCUGGAGUGGACCUCAGCAGUUGUACAGCGAAGGGGCUAGACUGGAAGAAGGAAAACCAAAUAACAGAAAUACUUCAUCACCAACAAUCUGGGUGUCCACUAAGAGACCCAAUCGAAAAGUCAGCAACUAUGCAGACGACAAGUGGAUAAAUCCACAAAGAUGGGAAGAAACCAGCGCAAAAAGGAGGAAAACACCCGAAACCAGAACACCUCGCCUCCUAGAAAGGACCAAAAGUCCUCACCAGCAAGGGAACAAAGCUGGACGGAGAAUGAGGGUGAUGAAAUGACAGAAUUAGACUUCAGAAGGUGGAUAAUGAGAAACUUUUGUGAGCUAAAAGAACAUGUAUUAAAUCAAUGCAAAGAAACUAAGAACCCUGAAAAAAGAUAUGAAAAAAGAUUUGAGGAAAUGAUGACAAGAAUGGAUAACGUAGAGAGGAAUAUGAAUGAAUUAAAGGAGUUGAAAAACACAAUACGAGAACUUCGCGAAGCGUGCACAAGUUUCAAUAGCCGAAUUGACCAAGCAGAAGAAAGAAUAUAUGAAGUCAAAGAUCAACUCAAUGAAAUAAAACGAGAAACCAAGAUCAGAGAAAAAAGCACAAAAAGGAAUGAACAAAGUCUCCAAGAAAUGUGGGACUAUGUGAAAAGACCUAACCUAAGUUUGAUAGCUGUACCAGAAGGGGACGAAGAGAAUGAAUCCAAGCUGGAAAAUAACUCUUCAGGACAUCAUCCAGGAAAAUUUCCCCCACCUAGCAAGACAGGUCAACACUCAAAUGCAGGAAAUACAGAAAUACACCACAAAGAUAUUCCACAAGAAGAGCAACCCCAAGGCACAUAAUCGUCAGAUUCAACAAGGUUGAAAUGAAGGAGAAAAUACUAUGGGCAGCCAGAGAGAAAGGUCGGGUCACCCACAAAGGGAAGCCCAUCAGACUCACAGCAGAUCUCUCGGCAGAAACACUACAAGCCAGAAGAGAGUGGGGGCCAAUAUUCAACAUUCUUAAAGAAAAGAACUUUCAACCCAGAAUUUCAUAUCCAGCCAAACUGAGCUUCAGAACUGAAGGAAAAAUAAAAUCCUUUGCGAACAAGCAAGUGCUCAGAGAUUUUUGUCACUACCAGACCUGCUUUACAAGAGCUCCUAAAAGAGGCACUACACAUAGAAAGGAACAACCAGUACCAGCCAUUCCAAAAUCACACUAAAUGCUAGAGAGCAUCAACAUAAUGAAGAAUCUACAACAACUAACGGACAAAACGGCCACUUAGCAUCAAAAUGGCAGUAUCAAAUUCACACAUAACAAUAUUAACCCUAAAUGUAAAUGGACUAAAUGCACCAAUCAAAAGACACAGACUGGCAAAUUGGAUAAAAAGCCAAAACCCAUCAGUGUGCUGUAUUCAGGAAACCCAUCUCACAUGCAAGGAUACACAAAGACUCAAAAUAAAGGGAUGGAGGAAGAUUUACCAAGCAAAUGGAGAGCAAAAAAAAGCAGGAGUUGCAAUUCUCAUCUCUGAUAAAAUAGACUUUAAGCAACAAAGAUCAAAAGAGAAAAAGAAGGCCAUUACAUAAUGGUAAAAGGAUCGAUACAACAAGAAGAGCUAACGAUCCUAAACAUAUAUGGACCCAAUACAGGAGCACCCAGAUACAUAAGGUAAGUUCUUAAUGACUUACAAAGAGACUUAGACUCCCACACAGUAAUAGUGGGAGACUUUAACACUCCACUGUCAAAUUAGACAGAUCAACCAGACAGAAAAUCAACAAGGAUACCCAGGGCUUGAACUCAGACCUGGAGCAAGCAAACCUGAUAGACAUUUACAGAACUUUUCACCCCAAAUACACAGAAUAUACAUUCUUCUCAGCACCACAUCACACCUACUCUAAAAUUGACCACAUAAUUGGAAGUAAAGCACUGAUCAGCAAAUGCAAAACAACUGAAAUCAUAACAAACAGUCUCUCAGACCAUAGUGCAAUCAAGUUAGAACUCAGAAUUCAGAAACAGACCCAGAACCGCACAGCUUCACGGAAACUGAACAACUGGCUCUUGAAUAUUGAAAUGAAGGCAGAAAUAAAAAAGUUCUUCGAAACCAAUGAGAACGAAGACACAACAUGCCAGAACCUCUGGGACACAUUUAAAGCAGUCUCUAGAGGAAAGUAUAUAGCAAUAAGUGCCCAUAUGAGGAGAAUGGAGAGAUCCAAAAUUGACACCCUACCGUCAAAAUUGAAAGAGCUAGAGGAGCAAGAUAAAAAAAACUCAAAACCCAGCAGAAGACAAGAAAUAACUAAGAUCAGAGCUGAACUGAAGGAGAUUGAGAUACGAAAAACCCUUAAAAAAAAAAUAAAUAAAUCCAAGAGCUGGUUUUUUGAAAAGAUCAACAAAAUAGACAGACCACUAGCCAGACUGAUUAAAAAGAAAAGAGAGAACAACCAAAUAGAUGCAAUAAAAAAUGAUAAAGGGGAAAUCACCACAGAUUCCACAGAAAUUCAAACCAUCAUCAGAGAAUAUUACAAACAACUCUAUGCACAUAAACUAGUAAACCUGGAAGAAAUGGAUAAAUUCCUGGACUCCUGUGUCCUCCCAAGCCUAAACCAGGAGGAAGCUGAAACUAUGAAUAGACCAAUAACAAGGUCAGAAGUCGAGGCAGCAAUUAAGAGCCUACCACACAGAAAAAGCCCAGGUGCAGACGGGUUCACAGCCGAAUUCUACAAGACACACAAAGAGGAGCUUGUACCAUUUCUUCUGAAACUAUUCCAAAUAAUCCAAAAAGAAGGAAUCCUUCCCAAAUCAUUUUAUGAGACCAAUAUCAUCCUGAUACCAAAACCCGGCAGACCCCCAACAAGAAAAGAAAACUUCAGGCCAAUAUCCAUGAUGAACAUAGAUGCAAAAAUCUUCAAUAAAAUAUUGGCAAGCCGAUUGUAACAGCAAAUCAAAAAACUUAUUCAUCAUGAUCAAGUAGGAUUCAUCCCGGGGAUGCAAGGCUGGUUCAACAUACGCAAGUCUAUCAACGUACUUCACCACAUAAACAGAACCAAAAACAAAAACCACAUGAUUAUCUCAAUUGACGCAGAGAAGGCAUUUGACAAAAUUCAACAGCCCUUUAUGCUAAAAACCCUCAAUAAACUCGGUAUCGAUGGAAUGUAUCUCAAAGUAAUAAAAGCUCUUUAUGACAAACCAACCGCCAAUAUCAUACUGAAUGGGCAAAAACUGGAAGCAUUCCCUUUGAAAUCCGGCACUAGACAAGGAUGCCCUCUCUCAGCACUCCUAUUCAAUAUGGUACUGGAAGUUCUAGCCAGAGCAAUCAGGCAAGGAAAAGAAAUAAAGGGUAUUCAAAUAGGAAAGGUGGAAGCCAAAUUGUCUCUAUUUGCAGACGACAUGAUAGUAUACCUAGAAGACCCCAUCGCCUCAGCCCAAAAACUCCUGAAACUGAUAAGCAACUUCAGCAAAGUCUCAUUAUAUAAUGUCAAUGUGCAAAAAUCACAAGCAUUCGUCUACACCAAUAACAGACUUAAAGAAAGCCAAAUCAGAAACGAACUGCCAUUCACAAUUGCUACCAAAAGAAUAAAAUACCUUGGAAUACAACUCACAAGGAACGUAAGAGACCUCUUCAAGGAGAACUACAAACUACUGCUCAACGAAAUCAGAGAGGACACAAACAGAUGGAGAAACAUUCCAUGUUCAUGGUUAGGAAGAAUUAAUAUUGUGAAAAUGGUUAUACUGCCCAAAGUAAUUUACAGAAUCAACGCUAUCCCCAUCAAGCUACCAUUGACUUUCUUCACAGAACUGGAAAAAACCACCAUGAACUUCAUAUGGAACCAAAAGAGAGCCCGCAUAGCCAAAUCAAUUCUAAGCAAAAAGAACACAGCGGGGGGCAUCACACUACCGGAUUUCAAACUAUACUACAAGGCUACAGUAAUCAAAACAGCAUGAUACUGGUACCAAAACAGAGAUACAGACCAAUGGAACAAAACAGAGGCACCAGAGGCAACACAACAUAUCUACAACUAUGCAAUCUUUGAUAAACCUGAUAAAAACAAGCAAUGGGGAAAAGAUUCCCUAUUUAACAAAUGGUGUUGGGAAAACUGGCUAGCUAUGUGCAGAAAGCAGAAACUGGACCCCUUCCUGACACCUUACACUAAAAUUAACUCCAGAUGGAUUAAAGACUUAAACAUAAGACCUGGCACCAUAAAAACCCUAGAAGGAAAUCUAGGCCAAACUAUCCAGGACAUAGGAGUAGGCAAGGACUUCAUGACCAAAACACCAAAAGCAUUGGCAGCAAAAGUCAAAAUAGACAAAUGGGUCCUAAUGAAACUCCAUAGCUUCUGCAUGGCAAAAGAAACAGUCACUAGAGUGGAUCGGCAACCAACAGAAUGGGAAAAAAUUUUUGCAGUUUACCCAUGUGACAAAGGGCUGAUAUCCAGAAUUUACAAAUAACUCAAACAGAUUUACAGGAAAGAAACAGACAAGCCCAUUCAAAAGUGGCAAAGGAUAUGAACAGACACUUUACGAAAGAAGACAUAUAUGAGGCCAGUAAUCAUAUGAAAAAAUGCUCAUCAUCACUGGUCAUCAGAGAGAUGCAAAUCAAAAUCACAUUGAGAUACCAUCUCACGCCAGUUAGAAUGGCGAUCAUUAAAAAAUCUGGAGACAACAGAUGCUGGAGAGGAUGUGGAGAAAAAGGAACACUUUUACACUGUUGGUGGGAGUGUAAAUUAGUCCAACCAUUGUGGAAGACAGUGUGGCGAUUCCUCAAGGCCUUAGAAAUAGAAAUUCCAUUUGACCCAGCAAUCCCAUUACUGGGUAUAUACCCAAAGGGCAAUACAUCAUUCUAUAAGGACACAUGCACACGAAUGUUUAUUGUAGCACUGUUUACAAUAGCAAAGACCUGGAAUCAACCCAAAUGCCCAUUGAUGAUAGACUGGAUUGAUAACAUGUGGCACAUAUACACCAUGGAAUAUUAUGCAGCAAUCAGAAAUGAUGAGUUCGUGUCGUUUGUAGGGACAUGGAUGAAUCUGGAGAACAUCAUUCUCAGCAAACUGACACAGGAAUAGAAAAUGAAACACCGCAUAUUCUCACUCAUAGGUGGGUGAUGAAAAAUGAGAACACAUGGACACAGAAAGGGGAGUACUAAACACUGGGGUCUAUUGGGGGGAAAGGGGAGGGCCAGUGGGAGGGGGAGGAGGGGAGGGAUAGCCUGGGGAGAAAUGCCAAAUGUGGAUGAAGGGGUGAAAGCAAACAAAACACACUGCCAUGUGUGUACCUAUGCAACUGUAUUGCAUGCUCUGCACAUGUACCCCAAAACCUAAAAUGCAAUUAAAAAAAAAAAAAAGGAACACUCAGAGAUCCACAGGGUACAUCUCAUUUCCAUAGCCAUGGUGACCUGUGGAGCGUUAAGCUCCUAGGAGUGGUAGCGCCUCUUUGCAGGCAGGUCAUCCCAAUACGUCUCAGCUGCCAACAGAGAGGGUAGCUCCUCUCUUCAGUUGGUUGUCCCGUUGUAGGUGUGGCCUCACCAGCGACUCGCCCCUUCCACCCAGGAUCCUCUCUGUGCCCUGCUGGCGACCAUGGUGCCCAGGCUGCUCAGGCUGCUUGGGCCAGGGGUCACCUGCAAGCCAGUGCUGAGUUCAUCUCAACCCCUGCUCAAGUUCCCCCCAAUGCUUGUUGGUGCUCAAAGUCCAGAGGGGGUUGAGGCAGCAGGGGGAUGGCAUGUCAGUGCUGCCUCAAGCAUCCACAUAUCCUGCUGGGCUAUGACAGUGCCUGUGCUUAGCCCCAAUCACACUCCAAGUUGGGAGUGGGCACCAGGAAUGGCGAGAGGCCAGGCAAUGGGAGAAGACACCCCUGAGGCUGUGCGGACAGUGGGGGCCUUCCCGGGUUCCUGAGUGUGCAGAGUGCACAGACACCCAGGUCCUGCACUUAUGAGGUUGGGGCUCCUGUCUGCUCUGUGGAGCAUGCUGGCAGCUCUGGCCAUGCUUCCUUUCAGCUCGGGCAGGGUCUCAAAGUCCUCACUGGGCCCCUGUCUGCCUAUUCCUCUGUGCCCAACCUUGCUGCUCCCCUGCCAGUGGGUGUGUUGGCCAGGCCCCAUCACUGUGGCCACCGGGGCAGCUGGCUCCAGGGGGCUCCCACUUGUCUUUUGCUCCUUCAAGUUCUGUGAAACAUGGUACUGUCCCAGGCUCAGCUGUGCCAACCCCAUUCUCCCUCCCUGCGGUGACAACUGGCAAUGAGGGUCUGGAGUGGCGAAGGGUCUGGAGUGACGGAGGCUCUGGGCCUAGGAACCUGUCCCAUCCAGCUGCACGAGGGUGGUGGCAGUGCACUUGGCUGCCUCAGGGAUGUGGGGCACAGGGGAUCUACUGCUGCUAUUGCUGCCUCCGCAGCCACUCCUGCUGCCACAGCUUGCACCUCCUCCCUGCAGCUGGAGUGAUGGCAGUGGCCACUCUGGACAGCCUGCCCCUGCCAUCAUUGAUAAUAUUUGAACUAAAUUAAAGUUAGAUGUCCAGUGCUGAUACAUGUAUCCCUAAAUUAAGAAAGAACUUACCAGUAACAGUUAACUGGGAAAUAAGAGCACUAGGGAUAUGAGUGGCAAAUAGCAAAUUGGGACUAAUAGGAGAGUUCAGGUCUGAUGGAGGAUCAUGUUGUACUCUAUUUUUCUUAUCCUAAUACCUUACUGUGGAAAAAUCCUUCGAAUGAUGCUGCUGCCUCUGUAAUGGGCAAUGCCUAACAUCUAAGAAAACUACUCUAUGGAGCAUGGCAUGGUCUCAGAACAAAUGAGUCAUCCAAUUUAAUAAGAAAAUAUUUGGAGACACUAUAUUUGACUUUAGGUCAUCCCUACUAUAUUCACUCUUCUACUUCCCUCUACCUUCUUUUGAGAGCAUCUGAAGGAUGAAUAGAUGUUAUAUCCAAUCAAUUCUAGCUUUACAGCUCAUGUUAUAGAAGUAUGUUUGAAAAGUUACUUGAUAAGUAGAGAAAUUCAAUCACACUAAUCAUAAAAAAUAGAUACUUAAACUCCCCUCUUCUAAUAUAAAUGACAACUUCAGACCAGUAUAUGAGUACUACCAAAAAGAAAUUAGAUAAAUGAAAACACAAAGGCAAAUAAGGAAAAUAUUUUGAAAAAAGAACUAUUUGGGGAAAUGAAGAACAUUUUAAGAAAAAUUUUCAACAGGAGAUAAAAUGAUCAUAGGCUUUAUGAUAAGAGAUCAAGGAAGAGAUUUAAGAGAUCAAGAUAUAGAUAAAAGGAUACUAAGUAAGGUUAGAAAAGAUUUGGCAGAUGGGGAUGAGCAAAGCUAUCAAAAAUCAUUAAAACCACAUUAGAUCCAGGAAGAUGUAGAGUGAAUAAUGUAGCAGAUGUUCUUAAUGAGUUGGAGGAAAUAGUUCAGAAAAAAUCACACAAAAUGUAGUGAGGUAGAAAUGAAAAACUACUUGGUGGAAAUGUUAUCGAUAUAAAGGGAAAGCUAUCCCUGAAAUUAAAACUGCAGUCUGUAGAUUGAGAGGGUUUACUAAAUACCAGGAAAACAUAACAAAGACUGAACGACAGACUUUUAGGAUUUAAAACAUUUCAUAAGCAUGACGAGACUAAGAAAAACGUCACCUACAAUGUUUUUAAAAAUGAAGUUGGUCUCAUAUUUUCUUCUCAGACUUCAAGUGAUGGUAUGAUAUCUAUAGAGUAUUGAAGAAAAAUAGGUGAAAUUUUAAAAAGUAAGAAAUUAUAGCUUUUAUGAUCUGUUUCUAAAAGCAUAUAGAAGGUAAAGCAAAAGAAGGAAUGCAUAAAUGGCAAAAUUACCAUCUAGCAGGAUUGGUGAUGAACAUGUUACACAUGAAAUCAGAUAGACUAGGAAAAAGGGAUGUAAUACUGGAAUUCUUAAAUAGAAGAUAAUUUGAUGAUAGUUAACUGAGACAAAAAGUUCAGAAAGAACUGCAAUAUGUAGAUUUGUGGAGAGGGGUUGAAGGGAAGAUCAUAUUAAUAUGCUGAUUGCUUCAUCUUUCUUAGGACAGUUUGUUUUGGAUGUAUAUAAAUGGAAAAAUGCUGGUUAUGCAUACUAUUGUAUUUAAUCAAUUCUAAGAAGCAUUUCUGAAAUUAGAAUAUGUCUUCUAAUCAAUAAUAACAUAAUCAUAAUUGUCACCCUAUUUUUUUCAAGAUCAUUUAAAAAUAAUAAAGCAUCGUAUAGUUAAUGACAUUUUAGAGUGCUUUAAAUAUAGAUUUUAAAUACAUAAAGCCCUCACUAAUAGACCUAAAACCUGACAAUUGCAUGUAUUUUCUAAGUUAAUAAUUGAAGGGAAGAAGGGGAAAUUUCAAAACUAAUAAAAUCCAGGCCAUAAAGCAAAAGAUAGAAAACAAAAUAAACAGUAGGUAAGGAGGCAAUAGAAAAUAAGAGUUAAGAACUCAAAAUGUGAAGUCAGAAUAACUUGUGUUCAAAUUGUGAUGCUAUGUUCUCACUUAUAAGUGGGAGCUAAAUGUUGAGAACACAAGGACACGUAGAGGAGACCAACACACACUGGGGCCCAUAGGAGGGAGGAGGGUAGGAGGAGGGAGAGAUUCAGGAAAAAAUAACUAAUGGGUACUAGGCUUAACACGUGGGUGAUGAAAUAAUCUGUACCAGAAACCCCCAUGACACAAGUUUACCUAUGUAACAAACCUGCACAUUUACCCCUGAACUUAAAAGUUAAAAAAGUGUGGUGCUAUUAAAUAUGGAGAUAUAGUCAGCAAAUUAUAUAUGUAUCAGUAAUCCUGACAAUUAGAUAUGUUUCUAUUUCAUAAUUGUUUAAUCAUAAAAUUCAUAUUAAUAGACGAAGAAGUCAAACAGAGCUACAAUUAGAGUCAUGUAUCAAGGAAAAUUUAUAGCCUCAGUUUUUCUAGUUUUAAUCUAGUAAGAAUGCAAAACAAAUAAGUUUUUAAAAAAUCAGCAGGAAAAGGAAAGCAACAGAAAUUGAUAGUAAAAACUAUUAAUCUAUGGUUAAAUAUCAACUUAUUAUAUUUAAGAACUUGUUCUCUGAUAUAAAAGUCAGUAGUAGUUGGGGAAAUGAAGAAAGCUGAAAAUAUACAAAAUUGUGGAUAAAAAUUGGGAGAUGACUUAAAAUACAGAGCAAAUUAAAAGAAUGCCACAAUUUUGCACAAGUUUUAUAUGUACUAAAAUUUGAAAAUGUAGAUGCAAUGGAAGACUUUCUAGGGAAUUUAAAACGGGUUUAAAAGGAGAUAGAAAAAUCUAAUCAGAAAAAAAGCAUAAUGGAAAGAGUAAAACAGUCAAGGAGCUUAUCUACCUCUACCUAUUAAUUACAUCUUCUGGACGGCUUCACAGAUGAAUUUUGUGUAAAUUAUCAAGAAAUAUGUAAUAUUAACUUAUGAUAUAUUAAAACUCUCCCCCAAUCAUCAAUAUAGAAGGCAAAAAUACCAGUUACAUUUAUUAGACAACAUAAUAUUGAUACAAAAACCUAACAUUGAAAAGACAAAAACAAUCUGCAGGUCAAUCUUGUACAAUAUUGAUGAGAAUCAUCUUAGAAAAUGUAGCAAAUGCAAUUCAGCAGUGUAUGAAAAGAAUAUAUUCUGCCAAAAGAGGUUCAUUCCUGGAAUGCUGAGUUACUUCAAUAAAAUUCUCAGCAAUGUGUAAUGAAGAAAUAAAAAGAUUAAAUUUUCAGUAC
Molecule: non-coding RNA, 44564 nt
Organism: Callithrix jacchus (white-tufted-ear marmoset)
Lineage: Eukaryota; Metazoa; Chordata; Mammalia; Primates; Cebidae
Source: RefSeq, a predicted model, not a curated record